This 48477-nucleotide long non-coding RNA is filed under the name Olea europaea (common olive). RNAcentral describes it as "long non-coding RNA (OEUR_LNC000719)". The record is from RNAcentral. Lineage: Eukaryota; Viridiplantae; Streptophyta; Magnoliopsida; Lamiales; Oleaceae.
UCAAGAGGAGUUUCUCCAUUGUUGCACUUACUUAGCAUAUCCGUUUUAGUGCAGUACACUGAUUCUCCAUAGCAUUGAAGCUGUGACUUUGGAAGGUUGAAGAGCGGUGGUAGCUGUUUUUAGCCAAUAAAAAUCAUAUAUCAUAUAUCUAUCUUACCAUCCUUGCUCUUAUAUACAAGCAAUUCAGUAGCACAGUGCAAGAUAAUUAUCGAAGGAUUAACAAGAACACAAGCAAUAUAUAGAGCUUUAUUUAAACUGACACAUAAAAUAAAUAAAAUAGGAAAUGGGAAAUAGAGCUUGCCUGAAGGCGAAUGAGAUCAGAUCCUGAAUGGACACUACUCAACAGACGGAAAAUGCGUUGAAGCAUAUUGGGAGGUCCAUCAGAAUUAUCUCCCUCCAGUGAUAAUGGUGCAGUUAGUACAGCAUUUGAAUUUGCAUUCUAAACGAGUGAAUGAUCCAAUUAGGAAACUAAUGAUUGGGUUCUCCAGAGAUAAACAAAAUUCAGCACAAAAUUUGUACACGGACAAAAAACAUAUAGGGAGAGUGAAAGGGAGGUGGAAUACAUACCAUUUAGGAGUACUGGAUUGAUGGCAGAGAAAGGUUUUGAACAGUCUUCUGCAAAGAAAAGAGAACACCUAUUCUCCUAUAUCUAUAGAGAAAGUUGAGAAUUCUCGUGCGUGUUCUUCCUUUUUCGUUACGUUUUUCCCUCUUUUCUCCUUUGCUCUUUUCUCUGGGACAAAGUGAAAGUUGAGAAUUCUGGUGGUGUUUUCUUCUUUCUUACGGUUUUUCCUUAUUCAUUUGAAGUGAGUUAACUUUAGUAUUUAUAAACAUGGGAAGAAGCCCCCCAGGGCACAGCUCAACUGGUGGAUCGAUCAACAUUGGCUUGCUUCCAGCGGCAGGAUGGAGAGUUCGAUUUGCAGUGGGAACCUGUGGCCAAAAAUUUGGUAUGGAACAAUCACUGUGGAAGAGGAUCUCUUGUGCGCAAAAGUGUACAGUCAAUGGGAGUAACCUGUGAUCCAGUUGAGGCAUAUCCCGCGAUUUACCCCCUCCAAGAUUCUAGGGGCAUGGGUCUUGGAGAUCUAGAAUUUAGUUUGGUGUAAACUAUGAUACCUGAAUAUAAAAAAUAAAAAAAACAUGGGAUGAAGUAAAACAUUGUGCGCACAUAUAUAUGUUGUUUAAUUUAUUGCAAACUUUCAGCGUGUGAAUGGAUUGCCCAACUUUUAGAUUCCAAGGGCCAGCUCCGUACGAUUUUUAAAAGAAUCAAUUCUAGAUGUUUAUGAGGGGUCCAAUGUAAGGUAAUUUUUAAUAGCGAUUUUAAAGCAAUAUGUAGACACACACACACACACAAUACGAGUGAAUGUGUACGUGGAACUAUAAGCUGGCCUCCUUCGAAAAUGGGGUUGUCUAAUGAAGCGCCUUUCCUACUACUAAUAGAAUGUCGGUUUUUGUCAACUUUAUUUAGGUUGAUGAGGUGAUUUUUUUUUUUUUUUUUUUUUUUUUUUAUUAACUCACAGUUGCUAUCCGAAGGUGCGCACUAGGUAAACCCCGCCUUGUGAUCCUAGCCGGCAAAGGACCACAAGGAGGUAAACCAACCUAGGUUACCCAUAACUGACUGGAUCAAACCAAGAAAACCAAUAGGCAACUCCAACAGGAAUCGAACUAGCAAUCUCACGAUUGCUAGUCCAACUGCCCGACCAACUUGGCUGGGGUUGCCCCCUGGGUUGAUGAGGUGAUUUGAUCUCACCUUAGGUAGUUCUAAGCGAAGGUUGUUAUCACAGUCCCACCGUCGAAUAUAACAAUUAGAUCGAUAUAUUUAAAUUAUAGUUUCUUGCAUGAAUUUUUUUACUCAUAAGGGAGAUUUUAUUUAUUAUUUUUUACAUUUAAGACUUAAAAAGUAAAAUAUGUACUUACAAUUCAAAUUUUAAUUUUUAAGUAUUUUUUACUUAUAAGUAAAUUAUACAGUUUAUAAGUUUAAUUUUUGCUUAUAAAUUUUUAAUUUAUACCUGAAAAACUAUCAAAAUCUACCUAUUUGCUAGGUUGAAAAAUGACCCAAAUUGCACUACACUGAUAACAGAUGGUUUUUAAACAUUUAAAAUCAGUUUCCUCACUCUCUUUCACGUCCAUAUAUGUUAAUUAACAUUCAACUUCACUUAAUUGAAUUCGUUCGUAUUCAAUUAUUAUUUUUACAAUACUUAUAAAACAUUUCAGAAUAAUGUGUAACGCAUGUUCGACGUUGACUAAUACACACAAAUGUGGGUAUGGUUCAACUAAUUAGAAGCCUCGUGCAAAAAUUCUUAUGAGGUCAAUAAAAAAUAUUAAAUAAAGUAAAUGAUCAUCUAUAAAAUUCUGUAGAUGAUCUCGAUAGUUUAUUUUAGGCAAAUCUGACAGGAAUCAACAUUUUUUUAUUUUUCAAAAGGAAUUGGCAAAAUUGACAUUAUCGGUAAUCCUCGAUGCAAUUUGUUAUUGAUGUCGACAAAGCAACAACAAUGUAAUCGAUGAUGAUCUCGACAAACUCAUAAUGCUUCGAUCUCUCUGAUCACCAACAUGGACGUAGUCAAUGUCAUCUAGGGUGUAAGCUGUCCGAUUUUACCGAUUUUUGACAAAUUUUCAAACCAAACCGUUUAAAACGGUUUGAGAAAAACCCAAACCUAAACCAAACCAUUUUGAACGUUUUGAAAAAAACUCAAACCUAAACCUAACGAUUUGGUCCGAUUUUAAACCAUCGAUUUCACCAUAUUUUUUUGCUAGUCUGCUUUUAUGUCAUUAAUUCAUUGAAUUUAAUAUAUAUUUAUAUCUCACUAGUCAUAAAUAUAAAAUAAACUAAGCCCCUAUUUGAACCAAAUUUUGGGACAAAAAAAUGAAAAUUUGGACCAUUAUUCAACAAGAUCAGCCACCUUCGUUGACCUGCUAUUUCAUGUGUGCGAUUUAGCCUUCUCUCUAAUAGUUAAUUUUCUCAUUAUGAUGAUAUGAAAAAUAUGGCUCAAACAGGGGCUAAAUAUAUCUACUAUAAAUUUAAAUAUCAACUAAAUCAAAGUGAAAUCACAAUAAACUAAAAUAUAGUUUUUUUUUUCAUUUUUGUUCACCUUUUUUAGGCUAAUGACGAUACAAUAAUGUUACAAUACAAGUUUACUAAACUAGAUAUAAGGUCCAAAAAAUAUAAUGAUAUCCAAUAAGAUCUCGUGAUUAUCAUAUCUAAAAAAAAGGAUGCUGAUUAAACAAAGAGAAUAAUCAACCACAAUAAUAAAGCAAUUGUUUAUAAUAUCUAAACAUAACAAUUACACAAGUUUACGUUUGUAUGAUGUUACGAAACACGUUUAAUUUCAAAUUCUUACUUUAAUUUGCUCCAAAAAAUUAUUGAUCUGAAACUUUAUUUGUGGCAAAUAUUAUCACCGAAAGUUUAGGAUCUCUUUGUCUCCGAUUUGAUAUAAUGGACUUCAAUUCAAUUUUGAAGAGGCGUGAAAAAUCGAAAAAAGAAGUGUGUGGCGCCGGUGGCUCAAAACUGUGUUGCAUGUCGACUGAAGUUCAUCUAAAUUUUGAAGAGGAAAAAAGCUUUUGAUAGAUUAUGUUAGUCUUGAAAUUAUUAAAUAUAUAUUAAGAUUAUUGGAUGAUAAUAAUAAUAAUAAUAAUAAUAAUAAUAAUAAUAAUAAUAUAUCUGUAUUAAAAAAUUAGGAAUUGACAAAAAUACCCACAAAUGACAAAACUAUUGAAUUUUACAUAUUUGGAUAAAUUUUCAAAAAAAAAAAAAUCAUUUUUUAAUUUUUAUAUAUUUUUUUGCCGGUCCGGUUUGAUUUUAAACCGCAAUUAAAAUUCUCAAACCUAAACCAAACCAUUUUAACCGGUUUGAUUUGGGUUAAAACCAUUUCGUUGACCGGGUCCACGUGGCACCAAACCGACGGUUUCUAAAAUGCGGUUUCAGUUCGAUUUUUCGAUUUUUGCUUACAGCCCUAAUGUCAUCUAUGGAAGUUCAUUCUUUUUUUAUUUUUAAAUUUUUUUAAUAAGUUAAUAAUUUAUGCCUUGUUUGAGCCCCAUUUUCAUUUUUUUUUUGCCAAAACUCAUUUUUAACCACAUAUUUUUCAAUAAAAUAAUAUUACACGCAAAUUUAAAAAUUUUCCUUAAUUUUUAACCACAUAUUCUCAUCAAUCUACUACUCCAAAAUGCUUUCUUUCCUGAAAAUGGGGCUCAAACAAGGAUUUAAUAUUAUAUCUAUAACUUAAAAAAUCUUAUUUUUUUAAUUUAUAAUAUUAAUAACGGGUAAAUUAUUUUUGGAACUUUUAUAUAUCUGUCAAUAAGUUAAAUGUCCAAAAGUCAGUGUUUUUGGAAUUUCUGUCAAUAAAUUAUUUUUUGAGAUUUCUGUCAAUAAAUUAAAUGUCCAAAAAUAAGUGUUUUUAUCAUUAUAGAAGAAAAAUAUGAUUCAAAGAUUGCAUAAUAAAUAUAUUUGGAACUGAAUUUUCUAAAAUUUGAGGGUCUUUUCUAAAUAUAGGGGUAGGGCCUUUAAUCAAUAACCUCGUUUGUGCAGAGAUUGAGAUAGGUCGGGUAUGGAAAAUAUCAAAUUCCUCAUGUGUUUGUAUAUGGUGUCGGUAUCACAUUAAAUUACACAAAAUUCGUUUAUCUAAUUUCAAAUAUCCUCAAUUUUCUUGUCGAUAUUUUUAUGUUCAUAUUUAUCUUUUAAAUUAGGCUCUUUAAUUAAAAAGAAUUAUUUAAAACCACACAAGUCACCAAUUACCUAACUUGAUGGCAUUCUAAACUCGCUGUAAUAAUUGCCAUCUAAAUAAUACAUUUAAUUAAUAAAGACGCCUAAAAUGUCCCUAAAAAAACUUUAUAAAUUAAGACCCAUUAAUUUCAACAAUAGCUUCUAACUCAUCCUAGUUGAUAGUACUACAUGGUAGUUGGGUAGAAUAGAAAUAGACAUGACUUUCAUGAACUCAACCUAACUUCAUUCAAUCGAAAUAGAUUGAUUGAUACCAAGUUUUUUAUAGUAAAAAAAAAAAAAAAAAAAAUUCUCAAUUUUGUACUUAAUUCGCUUGAGGUUGCUCAGUUGUACCAAUCCCAAUUAGACAGGGUAGGACUAAAGUGAGACAUCUAAACUUAUCCAAAAUUACUAAUGAAUGUCAUCAGUGGACAACACCAGUGACGAAUCCAAGAUUUUAUUUGAGCAUGGGCGAUCGUUGACUGUCGAUGGCCGCAAUAAUAACUAAUGCCGUGAAUUGAAAUUACUUAUAUCAUAGUUUGAUUUGUAAGUGUGAGUGUAUGUUAUUUAGUAAUAAUUUGAAGUUUGAAAAAUGGUCCAAUUAUUUACUUUCUUGGUUCGAUUUGCUAAUAAUUUCAAUUUAAUAGAAAAAAUAACUAUUUUAAUGAUCUCACUACAGGGUCAAAUUUUAUUUAAUAUUUUUAUUCUUCUAAAAUAUAUCUUUACUUGAUAAAAGAAUAUACAGAUUUUGCUGCAUGCAUCGUUAACAUGCGCCGACUGCCAUAAUGGUCAAGUGUUGCUUGAUUCCAAUGGAGAUUACAAGUUUGAAUCUUCCAUUUGCACUUGUUUUAAUGUCUAUUUGCUCCAAAAUGUGAAAAAUAUUAAAAUAAAAUAAUUGCAAAAGGGCAUUGCAACAGUUAAAAGUCAAACCAAAUACUCCCAUUCACUUGUAUGGUACCGUAACCAGCUAAACAAUCAGAGCUUGCUAUGAAUCACAGAAAUAUAUCUAAAACUAUAAAUACUUUGACAUCAAAAAAAGUUGAGUUAUGACGAAUUUAGCAUGGGUGGCCGCGGGGCUCGCUAGGUGCUGGAUCCUCCGCUAGACAACACUUCCAAAAAUGGUCUAAUUUUUUUCUUGUUGAUGUAUUAGGUGUCAAAGCAAUGUGAGAUGGGAUGCAUUAUCAUAUUUUUUGUGUCCACUUAGAUCACAACAGAGUUCACAAUUUAAAUUUAGGGAGCUAAUGAAGUCCAAUUUAAAAUUUAGGGAUGCUUUUCAUACACAGUCCAAUUAUAUGAUAUUUGCACAUUUUAACUUCAACUAUAGAGUCAACCAUAUACGAUAAUAACUCAACGAAUAAUAUUAUCUAGCAUCAAUGGUGAUAAAACACCAGUUUCGAUAGCUACACUUUAUAUGUUCAAUUAAAUAAGUCACGUGAUUUGUAUUUAAAUGAAUAUAUCAUUUAAUGCUAUGCAAAUACCAGCUAAACCGAUCUUUAAGAACAUUUUUAAGAGACUCUUUUUUAGUAUAUUCUACAAUUUAGAUAGCAUCUAUAAAUUUAGAAAUUAAAAAUUAUUUAGUACACUAAGACUCUUUAUAUUUAAUACUUAAAUUUAUUACUUUCAAAAAAUAUUUACUAUUUUUCCAUUUUUUUUUCAUUACCUUCCCCCUAAAUUAUUAUAUAUUUUCCUCAAUUGAAAAUUGAAAAUUGAAAUAUUUUAAAAUCUUUUAGUAAUAUAGAGUGAGUUUGGUUCUACAAAUUUCUCCAAAUUAAAAAUUUAAUUUAAAAAGUCUCUUGAAACAUAAUUUUAAGAUUUGACUAUCUAAAUAGAAGUAUUUUAUGUUUAAAAAGUAUCUUAAAAAUGUUUAAGACCAAUGAUGAUGAGUAACAUUACUUUAACUCUCGCGCUGCGGAUGAAGGAUGAAUUGCUUAAUAAUUUACCCUUUUAAUUCUUUACUGUAGAAGGGCUUUGCAGUCUUUUAGUCAUAGGGGACACUUCAAUAAUAAGUUAAUUGUCCCAAUGGUCACUGAACUUAUGUUUGUGUCUUCAAUUGUUUACCGAAAUUUAAGAUGUCAAGUUUUGAACACUAAACUUAUUCAAAUGUUGGACGUUACUCACUCGCAUAAUAUCCAUUGCAAACCUUCAAUGGAACUAGUAACAUGGCUAACGGGAUGCAUAUGUAGCGCUCUGUCACACCGUUAACAAAUUGUAAAAUCUUUGAUUGUUCACUAAAUUUUGAAAAACAUCUUCAAUUACACACUAGAUUUUGGAGAACUUUUUUAGUUGCUCAUUAAACUUUGAGUUGGUCGAAUUUCGAGCACUAAAAAUUUAAAGCAUAUUUCAUUGUUCACUAAAUUUUGGAAAUGUCUUCGAUUGUUCACUAAACUUUAAAAAAGAAUUUGAUUGCUCACUGAAGUUUGAGGUGACCAAAUUUUGGCCACUAAACUUAUUAAAAUGAUGCCGAUCUAUUGUCCAUUAAAAAUGUGUAAAGCAAGCUCAUGAAUCGAUUAAAAGUAAUAAAGUGAAUAAAUGAGUCGAAGUUGUGAAUCCCACGAGAAUGAUUACUCAAUUACACAAUAUACUUUUAACUACAGUGUAAUUGAGUAACCAUUUCUCGUGGGAUUGAUAAUUUGGACUCGUUUGUCCACUUUAUUACCUUUAAGUGACUCGUACACUUGCGGUACACAUUUUUAGCCGAACAAUAGGGCGACAUAUUUUAUUAGUUUAGUGGCCAAAAUUCGAUCAUCUCACACUUUAGUGAACAAUGAAAGAUGCUUUAGAAUUUUAUUGGACAAAAUUCGACCACCCCAAAGUUCAGUAAACAAUCAAAUACGUUUUUAAAAUUUUAGUGAGCAAUUGAAGUUUUGAUAAUUUGUUAACGGUGUGAUGGGAUACUACAUGUGAAAUUUGUUAGCCAUAUCAGUGAUCUCGUUAAAAGUUUGUAAUGGAUGUUAUGCGAGUUAAUAAAGACGCUUAAAAUGUCCCUAAAAAUUGACUAAAACUUUAUAAAUUAAGACCCAUUAAUUUCAACAAUAGCUUCUAACUCAUCCUAGUUGAUAGUACUACAUGGUAGUUGGGUAGAAUAGAAAUAGACAUGACUUUCUUGAACUCAACCUAACUUCAUUCAAUCGAAAUAGAUUGAUUGAUACCAAGUUGAAUGGUUCGAUUCCUGUUCUUGAAAUGACCAAACGGAACCACCCGAAGCCACUCUUAUCCUUUACUGUUUUAAAAUUCUUGUACAUAUAUAAAUUAACCCCCUUUUGACAACUAGUAUAUAUUUUCAAAUUCUUUUUUAUACAUACUCAUUUUUAAUCACACAUUCACAUAAUAAUAUAAUUUACACGUAAAUUCAAAACUUUUUUUAUACUUUUAAAUCACACCUUGCUUUUUAGUUUUCAAAAAUCACUAUCCAAAGCAUUGUUUGUCAUGAACAAUGACCAUCAGUAGAGAGUAUCAAUUAAACCGAAUAAAGAAACUAGUUAAAUUCAUAAAUUUAGAUUUGGACGCUAUUCUAUUAAUCGAGAGCACUUUUAGUUACUUUAAUAAUCUUAAAAUAUUUAUGAAUAACUAAAUUUAUUUAAAAGUAAUUUACUAAUAUUUACAAUAAAUAAUUUUUUUCUCACGGAUAUAAGUAAUUAAUUUAUUUUUAAAGUUUUUUCUACUUAAAAAGAAUAAAAAAGUUAUCAAAUGCGUUUAAAAGCACUAUUUACGCAAUGACAAGUUUGAAUUCUUAAGCUUAGCAAAAAAUGCGUUCAUUAUCUUCUGGUUUUAAGAAAACUAAAAAAUAAACAGGCAACAAUUGUCCCUAACCUUAUGUAUACUUCGUUAAGUUGAUAACUAAUAACAGUUGAUUAAUUAAUUCAAGAGCAUAGACGAGGGAUUCAAUGUUGUGUCUUUUUAUUACAAAUUAUCUUAAUUUAUAUUUAGAACUAGUAAUUUAUAAAAGAGUUUCCUCUUUCGGAAGAACUCUAAAAGUUCUUUUAAAUAGAAAAAAAUUAUUUUUAUGAAAUUAAUCAAUCUCCUUUUAACUUCUCAAAAAUCACGUAGAAUAGGCCUUAAAAAUUUCAUUUCUCUUAAACAGAAAAGUCAGUUUUAUAAUGUUGGCUUACAUAAGACAAAUGUUCAUUGGGAUCGUGCUGGAGAAGGUACCCUAAAUUUUUCAAAUGUGUUACAAGUACAUCGUUUUUUACAGCUUCCUUGACCGUCCUCUCACAUGUAGGAGUGGGGCCUGCGAUUAAAAUAAUCGUAGACCCCACCAUUUGUAAGAGAGCUGUAAAUGUGUACAGCACCAAGUGCUGCACAUGUAACGCUCCGACCCUCAAGGAUCCGAACGUCACUAGAUUAAUUGUACUUUUAACUGUAAACUUAAAAAAAUAGCUAAACUUUUAGAGGAAAUUAUAAAGAUUUAAUUUAAGAAUAUUUAUUUAAAAAAAAAAAGUAAAUGACAACAUAACUCAAUACAAAAGGAACCAAUUCCUAAUGUCUUCAGGUGACAUCCAUGCACAAAUACAUUUUUGUUACGUGAAAUUUUAGGCAAGAAUUUAAAAAUAAAUGUUGUUAUUUGACUUCCCAUUUUUGCGCAGUAAGUUUUAAAGUAAACUCGUUUACAUAGUAAUCUAAGUCGAAAUUUUACGAAACUUAUUGAGAAAGUAGGGAACUUCUCAUAAUAUAACAUAUCCAAAAUUCAGCUUUCAUCGACCACAUAUGAGAUAUUAAAAUAUUUUUCAAAACCUCAUAGCGACACGAUUUGGGAAGUAACCCAGUGCAGUAUACUUAAGGUGGUAUAUAAAAUUUCAUAGAUAUUAGAUUGAUAUGAUUUUGAGUUUAUUCAGUAGCUAAUCCAUGAGACUAUUAAAUCCUACUGGUUUUGUCCAAAAAUCCCAAGUAACAAUUGAGUUACGAAUUUUUAAGUUUAAUGGUAGAAAUUGGAAUUUUCAGAAAACAGCAACACCAUGUUUACUUAAAGUGACAUAUAGGUAGACGGUGUUUCGUAAGUAAAUUCUAGAUCACACACAUAUAUAUAUAUAUAUUUAAACAUAACCUAUUCAUAAGAAAAUGUUCGAAAUAGUUUCAUAUACGAUGUCCAUAGAAAAGUAACUAAUAGGAAACGCAAAUAUUUCAUAAUCAAUUUAAAGUUGCGACUUUUCCAUGUCAAAUUGCAUCUUCAAUCACCAUCAUCUGCGCCUCCAACAAAAGAAAAAAAUCAACCUGUAAUAAGGGAUUUAACCCAUGAGUUUGAAACUCAAUAGAUAUCAUUGGUGCAUUUCGUAAUCAAAUUAGAAAAUUCGAACUAUGGAUUCAUACCAUCGCAAGUAGAUGGAUUUUCGACAAAAUCCGAUAUCUAUAGCAUUAUCAUAACACGUAGAGUUGGAGAAUGAUUAUUCAAACUAUAAUAGUGCCGAAGCACCGUAUCCGAAGGUACCGUUUCGUUCAACUUUUAACGAAAAAUCAAAUUUGAAAAUGAAAUAACACUUGCACCUCAACCUACCUUGAAUCUUCUUAGAUAUCAAAGAACAAAUGUGUAGAAAGCCUUUCUUCUUUUCACCCUUGUUAUUCCCUUAACUUAAAUUGACAUAAAAUAUAUUUUUUGAGAGAAAAUAAGAUGAAAUUCGGAUUUAAGGAAGGAUGUAGUGAAAAAGUGACAUUCCACUUCUUGUAACCUUUCUUUUUAAUGAAAAACUAAAUGGGGGGAGUUGUAUUAUCAUAAAGUUUGUUAAAUUGGAUCUUUAACUAAGAAUUUGAAAAGUUUUUAAGCCUAAAAAAAAUUCAUAAAAAAGUUUUAUAAAAACAUCUACAUGGUGAUUCAAACCUGAGUUGCCUUUAUGAAAUAACAUGUAGAUGAUCAUUGGGGUAACCCAGUUAUUUAUUAAAUCUUUGUAAUCAAAUUUACUUAAACUUAAUUGCUUAAAUUGUUGGACUUUUAAUUAAUUUAUGGCUUGGACUUUCAAAAUCUUAAAUGGUUUGAGCUUCCACAAGUCGUUUUUUGAAUGAGAUAGGCUCAUGGUGCUAGAUUAUCAUAACAUAAUAGCCUAAUUUCAUUUUAUUUCUCGGGCUUCCACAUCCCUUACACCUUAAACAAAAUUUCGUUCUCAAAAUUUACCUUAUGGAUUGGCAAAGAGUGUCGGAUAUUUGUCUUUAACUUCUUCUUCUUCUUCCCAAGUAGCUUCUUCAACUCCAUAAUUAUUCCAUUGCACAUUGACCAGUUGAAUCUCCUUGUUCCGUAAUUUAUGUACCAUUCGAUCCAGUAUUCUAAUCGGUAAUUCCUCAUAAGAUAAAUCUUUACGUACAUCUAGGGAUUGAUAAUUGACCACGUGAUCAGGAUCAUGCAUAUAUUUUUUGAUCAUCGAUAUGUGAAAUACGUUGUGAACUACUGAUAGUUCGGACAGUAAAGCUAAUCGAUAAGCCACACUUCCGACCUUAUCAAGUAUUUCAAAAGGUCCGAUAUAACGAGGUCGUAGCUUGCCUUUCUUGUCAAACUUAAGUACACCCUUUAUUGGUGCCACUUUUAAAAAGACUUUAUCUCCAACUUGAAACUCCAAGUCCUUUCGUCUGAUAUCUACAUAGCUCUUUUGUCUGUCUUGCGCUACCUUUAUCCUAGUGCAGAUCUUAUCAAUGGCUUCGACUGUCCUUUCAAUGAAUUCUGGUCCCAAAACUCUAUUUUCUCCGACUUAAUCCCAAUGAACAGGUUAUCUACAUAUUCUACCAUAGAGAGCUUCAUACGGUGCCAUUUCAAUAGUUGCUUGGAAGCUGUUAUUAUAUGCAAAUUCUACCGAAGGCAAAUACGAUUCCCAAUUGCCUCCUAAAUCCAAAACACAGGCUCUUAACAUAGCUUCCAAAGUCUGAAUGAUUUUUUCAGAUUGACCAUCGGAUUGAGGGUGAUAUGUCGUACUGAAAUUCAAUUUUGUUCCAAUAGCCACUUGCAAGCUCUUCUAAAACUUAGAUGUAAAUCUCGGAUCUCUGUCCGAUACAAUGGAUACGGGGGUACCAUACAAUCUUAUGAUCUCUUUAAUGUACAACCGUGCCAACUAAUCUAGACUGAAUGUCAUUUUCACAGGAAGAAAAUGAGCGGACUUCGUUAGACGGUCCACUAUUACCUAUAUAGCAUUGUGCCCUCCUGCUGAUCUCGAAAAUCCUACCACAAAGUCCAUUGUGAUAUUCUCCUACUUCCAUUCUAGUAUUUCCAAUGGAUUUAACAACCCUGCCAAUCUUCGAUAUUCUGCUUUAACUUGUUGACAGACAAUGCAUUUUGCCACAAAUAGACAUAUACUUCUUUUCAUAUUCCUCCACCAAAAUGUAUCUCGAAGGUCUCGAUACAUUUUCGUACCGCCAGGAUGUGUAGUGUAUGGAGUGAUAUGAGCCUCCUCCAAUAUCUCCUUCCUCAAAACUUCAUCCUUAGGUACACAAAUCCUUCCUUUAACCAUCAGAGCCCUAUCCGAAGCUAUUCUAAAGUCCUUUCUCUUAUCAAUACCAAUCUCGUUCUUGAUCUUUUGCAAGAAUGGGUACUUACCUUGUGCCUCAAUGAUCCGAUCUCUAAGAGUAGGUCAAACCACCAAAGUUACUAAACGGGUGGUGACUUGCUCUGGUGUGGCAACCAUUUCGAUUCGUAAAUUCUCCAAGUCCUUGAUCAACUCCAACUAAGUAGUAGGUAAUGACGCCAAUCGUCCCACUGACUUUCUACUUAGCACAUUGACAACAACAUUAGCCUCACCAGGAUGGUAAUGGAUAGUAAAAUCAUAAUCAUUUACAAGUUCCAAACAUCCUCUCUGUCUCAUAUUCAAUUCCUUCUCUAUGAAGAAAUAUUUGAGGCUUUUAUGAUCCGUGUAAAUGUCGCACUUCCCUCCAUAUAAGUAAUGGCGCCAUAUCUUUAAAGCAUGCACAACUGUAGCAAGUUCUAGAUCAUGCGUUGGGAAGUUCAGUUUAUGUUGCUUCAAUUGCCUUGAUGCAUAGGCAAUCACUUUUUCGUGCUGCAUCAGUACACAUCUUAAACCUUGUUUGGAUGCAUCACUAUAUAUAAUAAACCCUUCCGAACCUUCGGGUAUAGCUAACAUGGGUGAUGAAAUCAAUCGUCGUUUUAGCUUUGAAAGCUCUGUUCACACUUAUCUGUCCAUUGGAACUUUACUCUUUUCCUUGUCAAUUGUGUCAUUGGUCCAACUAUUUUGGAAAAUCCUUCUAUAAAUCUCCGAUAGUACCCGGCCAAUCCCAGAAAACUUCGAACUUUACCCACGUUAGUUGGUGUAAUCCAAUUAGUUAUUGCUUCCACUUUUACUAGAUCCGCCUUAAUUCCUUGGGCAGUAACUACGUGACCAAGAAAUCCAACUUGUUCAAGCCAAAAUUCACACUUUCUAAAUUUGGCGUAUAACUUUUCCUUACGCAGUGUUUCUAACGCCAUUCUAAGAUGCUCUUCAUGUUGAUCUUUACUCUUGGAGUAUAUUAAGAUGUCAUCAAUGAAGACUAUGAUAAAUUGAUCCAAAUACUGAUGAAAUACACGAUUCAUUAAAUCCAUGAACACUGCCGGAGCAUUUGUCAACCUAAACGACAUAACUAUGAACUCGUAAUGUCCAUAACGAGUUUGAAAAGCUAUCUUGGGUAUAUCACUUGCCUUAACCUUCAACUGAUGGUAUCCAGAUCGUAAGUCGAUCUUCGAAAAUACCUUAGCCCCUUUCAAUUGGUCAAAUAAAUCCUCGAUUCUUGGGAGAGGAUAUUUAUUUUUGAUAGUGAAACGGUUCAACUCCCGAUAGUCAAUACAUAUCCUCAUACUUCAAUCUUUCUUCUUUACGAACAAUACUGGUGCGCCCCAAGGAGACACACUUGGUUGAAUAAAGCAACAAUCCAACAAUUCUUGUAAUUGAAAUUUUAACUCCUGAAGUUCAUUUGGAGUCAUUUUGUAUGGAGCUUUAGAUACUGGUACCACUUCGGGAACCAGGUCUAUUGUGAACUCCACUUGUCUAUCUGGAGGAAUACCAUGUAGUUCUUCUGGAAAUACAUCUAUAAACUCUCGUACAACUGGUACAUCCUCAAUCUUUAUUGUCGUCUAUUUUUCUCCUGAGAUGUUAACUAGAAACCCUUAGUAUGUUUUUUUUUCUCAUCAUUUUCUCAGCUUGUAAGGCCGAUACUAGUUGGAGAUGGAGUUUGGUCUUUAUUCCGAGAAAAGAGAAUUGCUCUUCUCCUAAUUUCUGAAAAGACACUUCACUUUCUCUACAACGAAUGGUUGCAUAAUUACGUCCCAACCAAUCCAUGCCCAAAAUCACAUUGAAGUCUUUCAUCUCUAUCAGAUACAAAUUAGCUUCUACUGUUUUUCCUUCGAUUUCAAGAUUUACCGACCUAGCUAACUGAUCUGUAUUUAAUGUUCUACCUGAGGGGACGCUAACUUCUAGUGUACUUUCUGACUUCUCACAAGUAAUACUAGAUUUAGAAAUAAAAGACGUUGAUACAAAAGAGUGAGUAGUUCUUGAAUCAAACAGUACAUAGGCAGGUGUAUUGAAUAUCAGUAAAAUACUUGUUAUUACGUUUGAGUUUUCCUCUGCAUCCUUCUAAGUCAGUGUAAAGACUUGUGCUUUUCCCUUUUUGUUUUGAUCACUGUUAUCAUCCUUCUUUUGAGUGAACAUAGGACAAUCCUUAGCAAUAUGUCUUGGCUUACUGCACCGAAAACAGGCAUUCUUCCCAUAUAAGCAUUUACCACAAUGAGGUUUACCACACUUUAGACAAGGCGUAACUGUAGCUACUAUGGCCUUGCUGGCACUAGAUCCGAUGUUAGCCUUCUUAUUUUGCCAUUUGCCCUUUCCUUUGUCUUGACCAUUCCACUUCAUCUUUCCAAUAUGCCCUCUAUCUUGCUGGUUGUACAAUUGACGGUGUUGCUCCGCAUUAGCCUUCUGAUACCAAAUAGCGUGAGCUCAUUCCAACAUCUCACGAUAUGAUGUGAAAUGAUAUGAUAAAAGAAUCAUGCUUAGGUCUGGGUUUAACCCUUGCUCGAACCUUCUAGUCUUCUUAAUUUUUGUGUCAACCAGGUGUGGAGUAUAUUUUGAGAGUUGAUCGAACUUUCGUUUGUAAUCAAUCAGGGACAUAUUACCUUGUUUGAGCUGAAGGAAUUCGUUUUCCUUGAAAUCUCUUAGAGACUGAGGAAAAUACUUGUUCAUUACUUCAUCUUUAAAUUGUUCCCAUGUUAACGCCAAUUGCUGCUCCGGGGUUCUAGUCUGAGACAUUAAAUCCCACUAGUAACUUGCAUCACCAAUAAACAUAAACUCCACACACUGAACCUUUUGGGUGUCGGUGCAGUCUAUGAGUCGAAAAAUUCGUUCUAGCUUACGAAGCCAUUCCUUAACUUCUAGUGGACUAGAUGCUCCAUCGAAGGCAGGGGGCUUAUGCCUUCGAAAUAACUCAACCACCGAGGCAUGAGUCGGGAGAGUAAUAGGAGCUAGUGGUGUAGUUGGAGUUGGGUUCUGAUUCAGCUUGCCAAGAUCUUGAAUCAUUUGUAGAAUAUCCCUUAUCAAUUUGUUCUGGUUUACACGAGACAUUUCCCUAGAAAUAAGAUAUAAUAUCUCACAUUAACUUCUUUUUCCAAAACCAGGAUUAAAAUAGGGAAAUAUUUUCAACUCGAACCAGAUUUGAUUUUUUUUAUUAAAAGCACUCCUUGAAAUCAGGAUAUACAAUAGUUCGACAACCCUUACUUUCAUAACAUUAAGGAAAAGAUAACACAAGGAAAAAGAAUCUAGUUUCUAAUCCCUAUGAAUCUUGCGAAUCUUCUUUGGUGGAGCUUCAUCUUCGGAGGAGGCUUCUGCCUCAGGCCUGGACUCUAGGUCUAUCUCAACCUGUAGCUCAUGCUCAUGCUCAAGUUCAUUCUCUAAUUCCAACCCAAAGUCAUUCUCAUGCUCCCAUUCGGGAUCUUCCUCUGGAUCCGAUUCAAACUAAGGUUCUGGCUCAGGCUCGGGCUCAAGCUCAAUUACUAUCUUCGGUUGAGGUUCUAAGCUCUCACUCCACGUGUCUAGAAGGAUCUGACAAUAUAUACCGAACCCAAUUGCAUUUGGGUGCUCUGGAGGGUUACCUUCUUGCAUCUCAUCCCUGAACAUGACUCUCAUGUUUCCCAAUUGAGGUGGAAGUGGGUGUAUGAGGUUAUUUAUAGCCUCGAUAUUCGUGAUCUCCAGUCUUGGAUCUACCGCCGCCAUACAUCUCUCGUAAAUGUCAUGUAUGUGUUCAACAAGCGGACGAGAUAGGUCAAUCACGUAGUUCUCAUAGGAUUGAAUGAUAGACCUAUGGUUCAACGCUGCUCUACAAGUCGUGGCCUUUCUAGUGGUCUGAUAAAUUCUAACCAUGUCUGUCACAUAAGUGUCCAAUUAUGUAUUAUAUCUGUUAGUGAUAUCAACUUAUGCAUUAUGCUUUUGGGGUUUCAAUAAAAUAGCUAAUCAUCAUUUCUUCAUGUAUAUAUAAACAAAAUAUAACUUACAUAACAUAUUUCAUUCUAAAUAUCAUUAGCAUUUUCAUAGAUUUAAGCUUAAAUGAUUUAUAAAUCAUGCUCGAAAAAUAAAGUAGAACAUAAUAUUUUAUUCCAUACCUUAAGUUCGUCGAAUGAUGUCAAUUGAUGGAUGCAAGAUGCCAUGGAAUGCCUUAAAUGUUUCACUUUCUCUCUCAUCUUUUAAUUAUUAUUAUUUUUUUUUAAAAAUACGCUAAGUCUACAGAAUUGACUAAACUCGUGCUCUGAUACCACGCUGUAACGUCCCGACCCGCAAGGACCGGAACGUUGCUAGAUUAAUUGUAGUUUUAGCCGUAUACUUAAAAAAAUAGCUAAACUUUUAGAGAAAAUUAUAAAGAUUUAAGUUAAGAAUAUUUAAAAAAAAUAAUAAAUGACAACAUAACUCAUUACAAAAGAAACUAAUUCCUAAUGUCUUCAGGUGACAUUCAUACAUAAAUACAUUUUUGUUACUUGAAAUUUUAGGCAAGAAUUUAAAAAUAAAUGUUGUUGUUUAACUUCCCAUUUUUGCGCAGUAAGUUUUAAAGUAAAUUCGUUUACAUAGUAAUCUAAAUCGAAAUUUCACGAAACUUUAAGAGAAAGUAGGGAACUUCUCAUAAUAUAACAUAUCCAAAUUCAGCUUUCGUCGGCAACAUGAGAAGUUAAAAUAUUUUUCAAAACCUCGCAGCGACUCGAUUUGGAAAGUAACCCAACGCAGCAUACUUAAGGUGGCAUAUAAAAUUCCAUAGAUAUUGGAUUGACAUGAUUUUGAGUUUAUUCAGUAGCUAAUCUAUGAGGCUAUUAAAUCCCACUAUUUUUGUCCAAAAAUCCCAAGUAACGAUUGAGUUACGGAUUUUUAAGUUCAAUGGCAGAAAAUGGAAUUUUCAGAAAACAGCAACACCAUGUUUACUUAAAGUGACAUAAAAUUUUACCGACAUCGAAUUGAUAUGAUUCCAAGUUUAUUCAGUAGCUAACUUAUGAGGCUAUCAAACACCAUUAGCUUUGUUCAAAAAUUCGAAGUAACCAAUUAGUUAUGAAUUUUUAAAAUCUGAGCAGAAACUGAAAUUUCUAAGAAAACAGUAACAUUAACUAGUUGACAUUUUUUUUUUUGUAGACGGUGUUUUGUAAGUAAAUUCUAGAUCACAUAUAUAUAUUUAAACAUAACCUAUUCAUAAGAAAAUAUUCGUAGAAAUAGUUUCAUAUACGAUGUCCAUAGAAAAGUAACUAAUAGGAAACACAAAUAUUUCAUAAUCAAUUUAAAGUUGUUAAUUCACCGACUUUUCCAUAUCAAAUUGCAUCUUCAACCAUCAUCAUCCGUACCCCCAACAAAAGAAAAAAAUCAACCUGUUAGAAGAGAUUUAACCCAUGAGUUUGAAACUCAAUAGAUAUCAUCAGUGCAUUUCGUAAUCAAAUUAGAAAAUUCAAACCAUGGAUUCCUACCGUCGCACGUAUAUCGAUUUCGGCAAAAUUUGAUAUCUAUAGCAUUAUUAUAACACGUAGAGCCGGAGAAUGAUCAUUCAAACUAUAGUAGUGCCGAAGUACCGUACCCGGAGGUACCAUUUCAUUCAACUUUUAACGAAAAAUCAAAUUUGAAGACGUAAUAAUACUUGCACCUCAACCUACCUUGAAUUUUCUUGGAUAUCAAAGAACAAAUGUGUAGAAAGUCUUUCUUCUUCUCACCCUUGUUAUUCCUUUAACUUAAAUUGACAUAAAAUAUAUUUUUUGAGAGAAAAUAAGAUGAAAUUCGAAUUUAAGGAAGGAUGUAGUGAAAAAGUGACAUUUCACUUCUUGUAGCCUUUCUUUUUAAUGAAAAACUAAAUAGGGGGAGUUGUAUUAUCAUAAAAUUUGUUAAAUUGGAUCUUUAACUAAAAAUUUGAAGAGUUUUUAAACCUAAAAAAAAUCAUAAAAAAGUUUUAUAAAAACGUCUACAUAGUGAUUUGAACCUCGGUUACCUAUAUGAAAUACCAUGUAGAUGAUCAUUGGGACAACCCAGUUAUUUAUUAAAUUUUUGUAAUCAUAUUUACUUAAACUUAAUAUCUUAAAUUGUUGGGCUUUUAAUUAAUUUAUGGCUUGGGCUUUCAAAAUCUUAAAUGGUUUGAGCUUCCACAACUCAUUUCUUGAAUGAGAUAGGCUCGUGGUGCUAGAUUAUCACAAUAUAAUAGCCUAAUUUCAUUUUAUUUCUCGAGCUUCUACAGUAUAUAUAUCAUUUUCCUAAUUUUUUUUCUAAUGUUAUAUAGUCGAUAGAAAAAUAGAGAAGUCAUCAAAAUUUUGUCAAGAAAAUCCAAUGGAAUAAAAUUUGUUUGAAGAAAAAAGAGUAUAACUGUUCUCCCUUAUUUCAAUUCCUAUAUCAUUUCAUCCUUGUCUUGUAUGACAAUGUCUUCAAUAUUAAAAUUUUUGGUGAAGUAUGUCUCAUGUUGUCUUGUAUAGUUUUUAAAAAACACUGUCUUUAUACGAGAUAUUUAUCAACAUUUUAUGAUUGUAGUAACAUGAUGAUUUGAAAAAUAGUUAUUGUAGAAAUCUUCAGAAGUUUCUUAUAUAUUAGACUAUUAUUUUGGGGGUAGAUGUUGUAUAGGUUAUAAACAUUUAUUACACAAAGAAUAUGCUUCUUUAAAAUUUUAUUAACAAAAAUUCUAUGGAAAAAAUAAUAAUGAAGGAAAUAUGGUACAUUAUUCUUUCAAGUACGCUAAAAAUUUUUUAUAAUUUGUUAUGUAUAAAUACUCAUCAAGAGUAUAUGCCUUUUUAAUGAGACCAUCUCCCAUAUAUGCUCAAUUUUCGUUUGGAGAUUUUUUAUGAACGUAAUCAUGCUUCAGGCAUGCCAUAAAUUUACCGAGUAUAAUAUUAACGAAUUGUCAUUUCAGGACGUCAAUUCGAGUUGGAGCAUUUUAAAGAUGUUGUAUGAGAUAUUGUUGAUUUCUUUGUUCAGUAAAUACAUCUAAAUAAAUUAUUUUUCAAACUUCUAUUUCGAAUGAUCUUUUGUGAGGAUUUAGGUAACAUAGUGAUGUAUUUGUACAUUUACUGCAGCUUCUUAAUUUCCCCCUAAUGCUGAGAAAAUUAUUCAAUUGAAUUGACAAUUAGCACACCGUGCUAUAAAACAUCACUUGUUUGAGAUAAAGGAUCAAAUUACUCAUUAAUUCUCAACAUUCUUUAUUUUCCAUCUCAAAACAUUAUAGUAUAUUAGUUUUUGAUACACUGCGUUAUCAAAAUAAUUUGAUGAAAAAAUUAAUCUUUGACCAUAAGCCAAGUUAUAGCAGAGAGAACUAUGAUGCUGACAUGAUAUGUAAUAGCAUUCUACAAAUAGAAAUAAGAAGUACUUUGUUCUCAAUAGUAAUGAUUCAUGAAUUAAUUUGGAGGCACUUAACAAAUAAUAGUUUCAAAUCAUUUAUUGUCAUCCCAACUAACACUUACUAAAAAAUUGAGAUUUAAGUUCACUAUCAUUAACAAAACACACUAUCUUAAUUCUAUAACCUGAAAAUCAUGCUCAUAAUUUAAAAUAUGAGCACAUCUAUUAGAUACAGAUAAUAUCUUUACGGUCAACAUAUAGGGUGAGGGAGCCCCAUAUAUCGCCCAAAUUAAUUUUCAGAAAUACAGAAAAAUUCGAUCUCUAUUUUAACUGGCGACGAUCAAGGACCAAUUUUCAAUAAGAGAACAAAUAUCAUAUAUGAGUUAUUUGGAUUAAAGAAUCUUUUGAUUCUUCGUUAAAUAUCCAUUUUAAUUAUCAUUUCGCAUCAUUAUUGAACUGAACAUGUCAAACAACGAAAUAUAAGAGCCAUUGAUUAAUGAUAGUAUUAAUACAUUACUCAAUUAUACUAAUGUGUAGUAUCAAUUAAUGAUAAAUAUUUUAAAAACAUAAUAUUUCAAUUUUUUCCAAAUUAGUACAGAACAAAUUACCACAAUAGUAAAAUUUAUCCGUACAUAUAACACAUUAUUGACUCUUUUGGAAUCUCAAAAUAACAUUUUUCAGGAAUAUUGAUAUAAAUAAGCUAUUGCUUCUUUAGAAGCAAUUUGAUUAAAACUACAAUUCUUCCAGAUCAAUAUGAUAUUUACAUUGAAAUAUCUAAAUUGUGAUUCUUAAAAAAUAAUUACAUAACAUUCUUCAAGAAUAUUAAUAAAUAUAAAAUUAUGCUCCUUUCAGAGCAUCACAACAUUCUUUCAGAAUAUUGAUUUGUAUUAAUUGAUUCAAACAAUUCUUCAUUAUUCAUUUGGAAUAUUUAAAUGUUUGAAUUGUAUGUCGUUUCAAUUUAACAACUAAUUAUUCUUCUACCAUAUUAAUUUAACAUAAAAGUGUGCUUCUUCUGUAACAGUAGGUCAAUAUUCUUUAGAAAUAGUGAAAAUUAUGAUAUCAUGCUCUUCAUGAAUAAUAAAAUAUUAUUGUUUAGAGUAAUAAAUUAAGUCAAGAUUUACUCUUCAAGAGUGAAAAGUAAUUCACGUUAGAUCUUUUGUGUAUCUCAUUCGUCUAAGUUGGAAACUGCUGCUACUGUUAGUCUGAAAUUUUUUAUUGUUGUUCUAUUUGCAUGUAGUGUGGAGAAAAAUUCAGUAGUUGAUGCAGAAAGACGGCUCUUAGCAAAUGCACUCAAUGAUCCUGAAAACCAGCAUUUUGUUCUACUCUCUGACAGGUGGAUGGGUGAUAAUGUCAUUGUUAAGUUCCUUCCCCCCACCCUACCACUCUCAUGCGACUGGUCCUUUCUUUCACUACGCAAAUUUUCUGAUCUGCAGUUGCAUAUCACUCAUAAACAUAUGGGAACAUGAAGACAGAUGGGAACAAGAUAUAAAACGACACUGCCGGUAUAUUUUCUGUAUAUGUUUAAGGUCAGUUUGGAGCAGCUGUAGAGCUUUUGGCAGUGGAACUUUUAUUAAAUAGAUUUUGACUGUUUGUUUGUGAAUCCAAAAAGUGCUAUGAAAAUUAAAUUGACUGGUUGGCACUUGGCAGUAUAACCAUAAAAGUGCUUUUGUAUAAUUUUUUAUUUAUACGACUUGGUUAGAGGUUAGAAAGUUUUUUCUUUGAUAUAUUAACAUAUAUAUUGUUGACUUUAAAUGGCUUCAUUAAAUGUAAAUUUCAACUUCAAUAAGCUCAAAAUUUGGGCUUUUUCACAAAAAUUAAUUUCGACUUUAGCCAAGCAGCCAAUAUUUUUUGCAAAAGAGGUUUUGACCUCGGGAAUGCUCUCAGGCUUUGGAAAACCCGUUCCAAACACACUCUAAGCUCUUAGAACAGUUAAAAAUUUGAGGACUGUACUAUUUGUAGUUAACAGCUAUGUUGUUAAUUACUGGACUUAUUCUUGACAUAAAUAGUUGCAUUGCCGAAUUUACCUUAAAUCGAAUAAAAAAGGAAAAAUCUUGUUUUACUGGUUUCCAACUGGUACAAAUGCAUGAUAACUGUUGGGAAAACACCUCCCAAAGAUUGCCCAAGAUCAAACAAACUUGCAAUGUGAAAAAAAAAAAUUCAAACCACUUCAAAGAUAAGAAAUUGGGGAAGAAAUGAUUUUUCAAUAUAUAUGAAGAACAAUGGAUUAGAUUACUUGAACAAGUCUCAAGUUAAUCUCCAAGAAAGAAAAAUAGUUUUGAAUUUAUACCCAAGAAAAACAAUCUUUUACUUGUUAAAUUCUCUCCAAACUUUUCUCUAAUUUUUCUCUCUCAAAACCGGACGAAAAAAUGAAGGAAAAAACAGCAAUAUAUAUAGAACUGAAUCGGGCGCCAUGGUGCCUGCCUCCCUGCACCUUUCUUUCUUGAAAGUGUCGAAUACCUCAUUCUUAUGCUUCAAAAAAUAAAUCCAAGCAUAUCUAGAAUAAUCAUCAACAAAUGUGACAAAAUACCUGGAACUGCCUUUGGAAGUGAUAGAAGCCGGACCCCAUACAUCCGUAUGCACAUAGUCUAGAAUACCUCUCUUCUAUGUUUGCUUGGCUGGAACUAAACUCGGUGUACUUUACCGUACACGCAAUGCUCGCAAAAAUUCAUGUAAGGCUUCUUCAAGUUCUUUAGCAAGCCUUUCUUGACUAGCAGAUCUAGCCCCUUUUCAGACAUAUGCCCAAGCCUCCUAUGCCAUAGCCGAGUGCACUCACAUGGGUCUCCACCACUUCCACUUGUUCCAACCACUAUAUCUUCUGUAACUGUAGUACCCUGAAGAGCAUAGAGAUUGCCUUCACGAAUACCCUUCAUCACAAUCAAAGAACCACGAACAACCUUCUUUACUCUAUUCCAUGUUACAAUCUUGCAACCACCGAAGUCUAAGGCACCAAUAGAGAUAAGGUUCUUCCGCAAAUCAGGAACAUGUCUAACAUCCAUCAAUGUUCUAACCACUCCAUCAUACAUCUUGAUUCUAAUUGAACCGAGCCCCACCGUUUUACAGGAAUGAUUAUUACCCAUCAACACGGUUCCACCAUCAGUGCUUCUAUAGGUAGUAAACCACUUCCUAUUUGGACACAUAUGAUAAGAGCAUCCAGAGUCAAGAAUCCACUUAUCGGAGAUUUCUUCAUCACAAGAGAUGGUGUAGCACUCAUCGCUUUCCCUUCCUUCCGAGGCAUAGCUAACCUCUUGUUUGACUUGCACCUUCCCGUUGUUGUUGUUCUUAUUGUUCUUCUACCAACCCCUUUUGUUAGUACAAUUUGCCUUGAAAUGCCCAAGCUCGCCGCAUUUGAAACAAGGCCUUUUCGCAAGAGGUCUAGAACUCGAUCUAGAUUUUUCUCUCUUGUCCUUUCGUCGCACAUUGCUUCUACCUCUUACAAAAAAUCCUUGAGCUUGCUCCUUGUUACCAAUGGUAGACAUGCCACUAGUUGCAAUCUUUCGAAGAUCAUCCGUUAGAAGUGACAUUCUAGUGUCCUCCAUCACAAAUUUAUCACCCACAAGCAUCAAUGUUUGUACUAGGUUCUCAUAAGACUUUGGCAACGAAAGAAGUAGUAGAAGUGCUUGAUCCUCAUCAUCUACUUUCACAUCAAUGUCCUUCAAGUCCGAUAUGCACCUAUCAAACUUGUUGACGUACUCCCGGAUUGGUGUACCUUCAUCCAUCUUGCAAGUAUACAAUUUUGACUUCAAAUAGAUCCGAUUAGUUAGAGUCUUCGUCAUGAAGUUCGUCUCUAGCUUUGUCCACACCUCCGCCGCCAUUUCCUCACCAUCAACCAAGAUAGCAACAUCUCUUUCAAGGCAUAGAAUGAUAGACGCUCGUGCCUCAAGAUCUAGCUCUUCCCAAUCCUCGUCAAACAUAUCUAUAUGCUUCUUCUCCUUUCCCGCCAAUGCCUUGUGCAACUUUUGAGAAAUUAAUAAAUUCUUCAUUUGCAUUCUCCAAUAUGAGAAGUCAUUCUUCCUAUUGAAUUUCUCUAUCUCAUACUUCCCAAUUUUCACUGUUCCUCUAGUAGACAUGAUUUAUCUACUUGUUUACCGAAAAUAAACCAACAAAGUUCACUUGAGAAUUUUCACAAACACCUUGUGUGCACAACAAAGUUCAAGCCAACCACCAAAAAUUGGAGUUUAACCACCCUGAUUUAAGAAGAUGCUCUAAUACCAAAUUGUUGGGAAAACACCUCCCAAAGAUUGUCCAAGAUCAAACAAACUUGCAAUGUGAAAAAAAAAAAAAUCAAACCACUUCAAAGAUAAGAAAUUGGGGAAGAAAUGAUUUUUCAAUAUAUAUGAAGAACAAUGGAUUGAAUUACUUGAACAAACCUCAAGUUAAUCCCCAAGAAAGAAAAAUAGCUUUGAAUUUAUACACAAGAAGAACAACCUCUUACUUGUUAAAUUCUCUCCAAACUUUUCUCUAAUUUUUCUCUCUCAAAAUCGGAUGAAAAAAUGAAGGGAAAAACAGCAAUAUAUAUAUAACUGAAUCGGGUGCCAUGGCGCCUGCCUCCCUGCACCUUUCUUUCUUACAAUAACUUUCUAACCUUUUCUGGAGAAGAAAAUCAAUUAUUGUCUAUUCUGUCCUCAGUGUUUAGGAGCUGAUAGAGCCAUGUUUAAUUGUUUGUUGUACUCGGUUCAUAAUCGUUCUUAGUUCCCAUGUGCCGGGAAGUGGGGAUUUACAUUUUGAUUGCAUUUAAUUUGAAUUUCUUUAUGACAGGAAAUAACUUUGAAUAUUGCAGUGGUUCAAAAUGAAACGGCAUCAUGCUGUUAUAACUAUUGCUGAUAAUCUGUACCAUACAAAAUUCAGGGAUUACUGCGAGGUGAAGAUAAUUUGUUGAAUAUUUAUAUCUUUUUUCUUUUCAACUUCCCAUCCUUCUUUCGGAUGCAACCCCGAGAUUGCACUUGAGCACUCAUAGCGGGUUUGAGUAUCCCUUCCGCCAUAUGAAGCUCAUUCAUCAGUCGUGGAAGUGACAUAGCCCUCUUUCUCAUAAGAUAACUAAUCUUGAAUGGAUUGAAAGAAUCUGGUAGCAUCUCAAGAACCAUAUCAGUCUGGAAAUUUGCAUCAAUCUUAGUCCCUAAGGUCUCCAACUUGCUAAAGAACACUGUCAAGGGAUAAAAAUCUCACAUUGGUUAAAUAUCGAAAUAUUGGCCAAUUUAAAAAGAUUUUGGGCUACUCCUCUUAACAAGAUCGAUCUUUUAAGAUAGAACCCCAAAUCUUAACAUGGUAUCAGAGUCCAUUAAGUUUCAACUAGCAAUUCGAUCCGAUUAAAACUCUAAAAAUGAGCACACAGAUUUCUCUACUUAAGCGAGCCACCAUCUUGCGGGGGCAUGUGAAGGGAUAAAAAUCCCAAAUAAGCUAAAUAUAGAAAUAUUGACCAAUUUAAAAAGAUCUUGGAUUACUCCUCUUAACAAGGUUGACCUUUUAAAAUGGAAACCUCAAGGCUUAAAAAGCACCAUCAUUUUAAUCACGUGCUCCUAAAAGGAGUUUCCUCAGACAUCUUAGUGUUUAGGAUAGUCCUCAAGGCAGACAGGCCGGUAAGGCGACCUGUGUUAUCAGACAUCUUGUACUAACUAAACAACUAAUCUGAAGCAAUGGAAAAUUAUUACUUCUAAGUUCUAAGUAUGAAAUUUGUUUUACGUAUUUUUUUUUUACAGAAAGUACACAUUUUCUAACUUUGCAAUAGAAUGUAAAAUUCAAAACAGUUAUAGCAGGUUAAGAUAUCCACGAACAUCUCAGACGCUUUCGUCUCUGGAAAAUGUAAAUAAUAGACAAUGAGACAAACAAUUUUGAAGUACGAUAUAUAUUGCAUACAUGUGACCUUUAAUUUUGAAACUGGACGAUUAAUGAUAAAUUUCUAUUGGGAAAAUUAAAAAGAAGAGAAAAAUUAAUUACAUAUGGCCGGUCUCCGAUCGCCGAUCGCCAGUAGGCCUGCCGUUGAAAUUUGCUGAGUUUUUGUUGGAGAAGAAAGGUUUUAGCUUCAGUAUUUCUUAUUGCAACUGAUAUAUCAUAUUGUAUACCUAUAAGGAUUUUAGUGUUUGCAUGUAUUUAAAACAGCCAAAAGAUGAGUUUGUUCGAAAGAAGGAAAUUAUGCCAGUUACUUUGCUUGCUUUACGAGUUGGAUAAUUGGCGAAAAACCCAUGACUGUUGACUUAAUUACUAAAUGCUCCAUAUCUUUUUAUUUUAGUAGAAUACCCUCCUAGAUGACCUUUUCGUGCUGAAGACGCCUAUAUCGUCCAAUUUUGUUAGUUAAGAUAGUAAAAAGUAGGAAAAAUGGGGCAAUAAUAUAAGGGUAAUUGGCAGAUUAGCCCCGUAACGUUACAUAUUUGGUGCAAUAUCUCCUAACCUUUCAUUUUGACACAAAAACCUCUAAUAUCCUUUCAUUUUGGUGUGAAACCCUCCUAACUAAAAUAUCACGUGUCUAACUAAAAUAAAUAAAUAAAUAAAUAUAAAUAAAUAAAUAUAUAUAUAUAUAUAUAUAUAUAUUGAAAAGAUCACUACAAAAAAAGGGCUCCACCAACCAAAGGUUUAGCGACCAAUAAAACAUGGUUGCUAUAAAACACAUUCAGCGACCAACUAAUGGUGGGUAUAGGUUUUGGUCUAGUAAAAUUGGACAAAUUUUGUUAUGUUCUAUUGUGACCAAAUAUUGGUAGCUGUUUCAGAGAAUUAGGGACCAUACAUUUGAUUGGUUUGUAAAGGUAGUGAAGAAAAGAAUAAAAAAAAUUCUGCAUAUGAUACCUACUCUAGCGACCACUGAAUGGUCCUAGCUUCCAGUCUUCUACAACCGUCUAUGUCAUGGUCGUUAAAAUGUUUGGCGCAAUUUUAUCCCGCUUUUUUUCAUUUGGUUUUUGUAUGUUUAGCGACCAAAGGCGAUGGUUGCUGACACUACACCACAAAAGCGACCACUGAAUGGUCUUAGAUCUUGGUCUUCUGCAACCAUCGAUGUCAUGGUCGCUAAAAUGUUUGGAGCAAUUUUAUCCUGCUUUUUUUUCUUUUGGUCUUUGCAUGUUUUAGCGAUCAAAGGCGAUGGUUGCUGACACUACACCACAAAAGCAACCACUAAAUGGUCCAAGAUCUUGGUCUUCUGCAACCAUUGAUGUCAUGGUCGCUAAAAUAUUUGGUGCAAUUUUAUUCCGCUUUUUUUUCGUUUGGUUUUUGCAUGUUUUAGUGACUAAAGGCAAUGAUUGCUGACACUACACCACAAAAGCGACAACUGAAGAGUCUCUGAAUCCUAGUCUUCUGCAACCACUCAUAUCCUGGUCGCUAAAAUAUUUGCCGCAAUAAAAUCCUGCUCCUUUUCAUUUGAUUUUUGCAUUUUUUAGCGAACAAAAGCGAUGGUUGUUGAAUACUACACCAUAAUAGUGACUAUGGAAUGGUCCCUGAUACUAGUCUAUUGCAAACACUCAUACCUUGGUCACUAAAAUAGAUAGCACAAUUUUAUCUCGCUUUUUUUCAUUGGUUCUGGCAUUUGGUAGCAACUACUAAUGAUGGGUGCUGAAUAUUGUACCACUCCAACGACCAAUGAAUGGUCCUUGAUCCCAGUCGUCCGCAACCACUCCUAUCUUGAUAGUUAAAAUAGUUGGCAGAAUUUUAUCUCGCUUUUUCAUUGGUUUUGAAAUGGUCGUUGAGCCCAGAUCUCUUCAACCAUCGAUGUCGUAGUCGCUAAAAUAUUUGAAACAAUAAAAUCCAUGUUUCUCUUUCAAUUAAUUUUGUUAUUUUCUAGUGAUCAAUUGAUGUAGAUCGAGUUUACAAAUACACGAUACUAACAACUCAAACGAAUUGAACUUAAAAAACAAACGUUUUCUUAUUUCAUGAAAAACCAAAAGACCUAGGAGACGUUUCAAGGUUUUAAAUACGAAAAGAACAAAUAUCCUACUGGGUCAACAGUCCUUUAAUGAGCUAGGCUACAAAGCGAGAAUAACAAAUACUGAGAAUAAUAAAGUAAGAAACCUUAAAUCUAGAAUCAUCGUGAGCUUUCCGAAAUUGGGUUAUAGGCCCAAAAUGGACACCGUAUGCAAAAGUUACGCAAUUUUUUUGAAACGCUGAUCAUCUAAGUGUUUCAUAUAUGAAAGUGUCUAUUCCUCCACACGAACCUCAUCACCAAUAUUAAUUGUUGCUUUGUGCUGAAUCUUGUAGGGUUGGUUUUAUAGGCCACAACCCGAUUGACCCCGACCACUCUACACAAGAUAUCUACUCGACCAAAUUGCAUUAUUAAUGAAAAUGGACCGGAUCACAAUACAACAAAAGAAAUAUUUUGUAACCUACAAAAACUAGAUUCCCUAAUAUUUCUAAUUAAUUCUAAAUAAAUAGAGUUAAAAAUUGAAAAAAUCUAAUUCCAAAAUUAAUCAACCCAAAAAAAUACCAGUACAAAGCUAUACUCCCCUUGCAUAUUUAUUUCAUAUUUGAACUAAUUCAACUAUACAUUUCAUCAAUUAUAAUUUUAAUUUAGAGAUUAAAAUAUAUAGAGAAUUGAUUUUAAUUCCAAAAUUAUAAUUUUAAUUUCCAUUAAACAUAGCCCUAAAAACAUAGCCCAAUUACAAUUGAUUUUCAAAAUAACUAAAUCUAUUAACUUUCCAUGUAAAAGGCAGAGGAAACGCCAUAACCCACGUCCAGAGUUCUACCCUUCUCCACAUCUUCUUCUUCGAGCUGUUGCCACUGCCAUUGCAUCUCAGUAAUCCACAAUUACUUGGUCCAGUGUUCGACACGAGCAGCUGCCGUUGCAUCUCUGAUAUAACUACUUCUCUGUAUACAUAUAGUCGGCUUCUUUCACUCGUUUUUCAAUAUGAUUACUAGUUCUCUCUGUACAUAUAGUCGGAAAUAUCUUAGCCCUAUUUCUUGAUUGUGUAUUUAUAAUUUUUCAUUCGAAAUAUCUAGUAUCACUAGUUGUUUUAUAGAUAGUCAGCCACUAUCAGGUAUCACUCGUUGUUUUACAUUGAUUGUAAAUUUUGAAUGACGCUGGAAGAUUAUUUGUUUCUAUCUUUUUACUGUGGGUUUAUCUAGUAAUACAGUCGGGUAAGCAUUGCAAUAAGGAUUAAUUCAUUAGCAUCUACAGAUUUGUUUGUGGGUUCUUUUUUACUUUUUAACACCUAAACUAAAGAUAUUAGACGGUAGGGGGUCUUUUGUAUGAAAUAUGUUAUCUAAGGAGUAUUCUACUAAAACGAAAGGAUAUGAAGGUAUUCCAUAAUAGAAGCAAAAGUAAAUUCUAAAUUUGUAAAUUCACCUUUUUUAUUUUAAAAAAUACUUAAAAUAAAACAAAAUUAGAUUUUCAAUUCAAAACAGCAAAUUAGUAAUAUAUGGUACUUGUAUUUAGCACCAAUCUAUGUAACACAGCUUUAUUAAAUACAUAUAUAAUGCAAUGUAAAAAUAUGAGUCUCAUUUUAUUGAACAUAUAGUUUAACGUCACGAUGUUGUGGUAUCUGUAUUGCUAAGUAGCAUACACUAAACCAAAUUGUAAUUGAAGUUUGCAAGGCUUCGGUGGAUUUUAAAAUUACACCACUUUCGAGUAGUUAAACUAUCAAAUUAUUGGAUGAUCGACUUGAGUGUUAAGUCAUUUGAUCAAGUCGUAUUGUUUAUUAAGUACAUGUAUGUUAUAUUGAGCGUCUAAGUAAUUCAGAAUUCGAGAUCGUUUAUGUUGAUACCUAGAUGCACCAUUCGAGAAAGGGCUCUUUGGCAAUGAGAGAAUAUCGAUACGUAUAUGUGAACAAUAUGAAUAAUUUUUCUUGACUUGUAGUAUUUGAAAUUUUAUGUAAUUCAAAGUCUACCCACAUCACUUUAUCAUGAAACUUUAAGCAUGUGGUCAUCAACUUCUUAAUCAAGAAAUUCAUCAUCCUCUCUUCUGAAACAUUCUAACAAUAUAGAAAUAUCACUUUCUGUCUUUGAACCAUUCUGCACAUUUGGGAUCCUCAGGACUAUAAUAACUCCCAACUUUUUGAAGAUUUUGUUCUAAUACUAAAUUGACAAUCCUUUUGAACAACGAUGACUAAGCCACUGGCUACUGUAAGGCUUCAAGCUACAUAUGUGUUAACCAUAUAGUAUUUCGACAUGAUCUGGAAGUAACAACAAUUGGAGCCGGGGGAACUUGUGAUCCGGUAAGCAUUCCCAUCCACUUUCCUUGCUGUGAGGUACUGUAAAAUGCUUGGGAACCCAAUUUUCAUCUUUUAGCUUUCUUUCUUUUGCAACCUCUCUCUGCUUCUCCUCGACUGCGCUCUUUGCUUUCAUGGCUUUAUCCCAGUACUUCUGUAGAAUAGCUUGGCUCACUUGGACCCAUAUUACAGUUGAUUCACUCAGAAGAAUGCCCUAAAGCGUUAAAAUCAGAGUUUUAGAAUCACAAGUAAAUAACCAAAUAAUAUAUGCACCAUUCUGACACCAGAACUCGAAUAUCUUGCUAAUAACAGUUGAAUAGACAUCCGAACAUUCACUCCUUUCCAAAUAAAUGAAUUAGCUUCCAUUUUUGUUGACAGAGCAAGUUAUGCUUAGCUGGUUUGGAUUAACUGUCUACAAGCUUAAUUGGAAAUAUCACUGUGCAUGAUAAAGAAAACUAAGAUAAAAUUAGUAAUAAUCUACCUGAAAAUUCUAAUGUAUUAACCAUAAUAUUAACAAUUAAGAUUGUCAGCUACAUCAAACCAAGAGAACAAGCAACUAUUUUUAGUUACACUUACCUUUGGUCAUUGACAAUAGGAGUCCUCGGUCCUGAAAUAGCUUCCUUUGCGUUGUAGAUGAUCAUGACUCUUUCACUGGUGUAGGAAAAUUGUAGCAUGCUUUAACAUGAAUUUCGGGUCAACAAACUUACUUGAAAUGAUGAAUUUCAAGAUCUUUGUGUGGUUGAAUCACCUUGCUUUCAAAUCUCCAAAAUUUGUAUUUUCUUGUACUUGAAUGAUCCAAAUCCCGAUUACAAUGGAAGGGGAUUAUUGUCCUCAAUCUAAGUGCUAUUCUUGUGAGAUUUCAUGCCAAAAAUGUGAUUCUAGGAACUUUCCAAUUUUGAGGUGAUUUUCCAUACGAAUUUUUUCACCUUUUUUUUCAUGUCUUCCAUUUUCCCCCUCUUUUCCAUAACUUCUAUAUGGAAGUUUCAAGUGAUUACUUGGGAGUCAUGGGUUUAAAUUCUAAAUUCAAACCAUUCCCUCCAACCCUUUUAAAAUCCUGCAGGUUGGGACACCCCACAUGGGCGACCCAUUAUCCAUAUUUUCCAACAUCUCCCACUCACACAUAAUGGGGUUGAUCCGAGCCACAAAUAACAACGAAUAUCACAACUUAGAUCCUUCUGAAGAUCUAUCUCACAAAGAUUCAUACGGCAAAUAGAUCGUGCGACCAGCGAGUAAUAUUAGAGCUCACGGUACUAGAAACCUGUUAGGGAUAUAUAGUAGCUCUACUAGAGGAGGAACAUCACAUCUCGCUAUGCCCCAAACUCAUUUUCCAACAUUAAUUCAAGUAUUUCCAAUCCCUCGAGUGUUUGUGGAACAUACUUGAACUCCGCAUCAUAUCAUUGUAUUCACAAUUGAAUUCUAUAUCCCAAAUGGUUAAACACAAUUGUCCGGCCGGUGAAUACAAACAUAAAUGUUGGUCAAAAUAGUUUUCAUUUCCUACUUGAAUCCUUUGAUUUUAAAUCAACUGCUUUCCUACACAUGCCCCAUCAAACCGAAUCAAUCAUAGUUAUCGGCAACAUGCUAAAGUAGCAACAUUGAAAUAAAACCUCAAGAAAGAGUCUAAAGUCAUAAGGGUAUAUAUGAGGUUACAUAAACCUCAAGGUCUCACAAAAUGAGGAAGCAGGGAUCCAUUCACUCAUUUACACAAUAUUGGUCGUAAAAGUACACGCGGUAUGAAACACGUGCUACGAUGUUUUCUCCCUUUUUUAGGGCGUACGUCAUAUUCUUUGUAAACAAAUAACAUCGUACAGAUUCUAGUUCAAGUAUUCCUUGAUACCUAACUUGAGUUCUCCUUAUGUUCAUUCCUCCAGGCAUUCUCAAAUCGAGAACUCGAUCUGACUACUAAACGGGUUUAAUGGAUAGUGAAAUCCAUUUCGAUUACUUGUUGUAAUAUCAUCUUAAUACCUUAUCAAAGUGACUGGAUCAUGUAAACAAAAUGAUCACUAUCAAGGUAACUGGAUCAUGUACACAACAUAAUCACUGUGUCUCAUCUCAGCACAUCUUAAAAGAUCUGAGACGAUUGCUUGUGUGAAUAAGCCAAUCUCAAUCUGUUCGACAUACUUUAUAUGUGUACACAAAUCAUUUAUCUUGUAAUCCCAACAUUAGAUUACACAUGAACUAAAAAUUGUUCAUUUAUGGGCACACAAAACUCAAUCAAAAGUUUGUCUGAUACACCAAAUAUCAUACUCUACGAAAUUCUAGAGAUUCCAUAUUAUCAAGAAAUAUAUCUCUAUACAUCUUCGGAGUAUGAUGAUUACAUAUCAUCAUUUACGUAGAUAUAUCGCCACUACACUUUCUUUGCUAAUGUCUCUCACAUAAUUACCAUUAAGUGUUUGGUUCUAUCUUGAUACUUGAGAUCUUAACAUAUAAGAUAGUUGCGUAACUAUCAUGGAUCUCUUAUUCUUAACUAGUAUCAUUAGAUACUCAAUACACCCAUACCAAACAAUUUCUUUAGCUGCCAAGAUAUACAUAACAACAUAUGCUUCUUGCUACUCUAUAUAGCAAAAGCGGACAAGUCAAAUAAUCAAUUGUGCUCGAUUAACUCUCAUUAUUAAUCAACAAUAAUAAGUUAUUUAUUUGACAACGAAAUAGAAUAACUGACAGCAGCACCCUCGGGUAUCACAAUACAUUUUCUAAAGAUAAUAUUGAUACCUAAUGAUUAGAUCCAUGGCAUGACCAUUGUUAGGAAAAGUAUAUAUCAUAAUAUACUUUUAUCUUCUAACUCUUAAUCGUACUAGAUAUGGUUCUCUAGAUAUUUCUUUGUGCACUCAUGAAGUCUUUGGACAUUUAUGAAGACUUAUAUGGUCACAGUUGCAAUUCCACAUGAGCAUUUAUACUAUAAAACUCUUAUGAUAGAGCAAGAACAUACAAAAAUUAUUCUUAGCACAAAUCAUACAAUUUACUAAACUCAUGUCUUUUGUCUCAAAAAGUGACGACAAUCAUUUCAAAUUGGUCUCUAUAUACUCCUUAUCAUGCUUGGCCAAUCCAAUGUCAUCAAUAUCAAUAUUAGAAUUACAACCUACCAUCAGACCUUUUAUACAAAUACAUUAAUUUUCGUCCAUAUGACGAAAUUCUUGUACGAGAUUUAACUCUGUUAAAAACUUAAGUACGACUGUCGAGAUGACUGUAUUUGGCCAUGCGUGUAACUGUAAAGUUACCACAAUACAGAAAAAAGCCUUUAACAUGAAAUCUAAAAGUCGAUUCAUGUUGAUAUCUUUAAUCAUUUCUCAAUUGAGAAUAAAAAAUACAGUCUCUAUGUCGAUUUGAUGUAACUCUAAAUUUAAACAUACCAUCAUGGCUAGCAUUGAUGUAUAGAAGUGAAUCUCAUUGUUAUGAAAAAUUUUAUCCAACUCAAUAAACUCACAUUGAGUAUAACCUUUUUAAAAAAUGAGCUUUAUCUAUCAAAAACUCAUUAGUCUUCCACUUAACUUUUAAGAACCUGAAUGUUAUCAAUAAACAUAAUGUUCGAAUAGAACUUUCACCAAAUCCCAGAUUAGGUUAAAAUUCUAUACUUCAUGUAUAUACUUUCAUCACUUUUCCAAAAUUCAUCUUCUGAUUUUCUGAACUUGCUCUUAGAUGCAACUUGGACCCGAGAAUCAUUAAAUUAGAUAGUUCUUGGAUGGCUCCCACUCGGAUAGAUAGCUCUCAUCAGAACCAAAAAUCAUUGAUAUUAAAUGGUUCUUAGCUCCCACUCAGAUAGAUAGGUCAAACUCAGAAACAAAUUACUUCCACUUGAAUGAAAAGUUUGAAUAUUCACUUGUAUAUUCAAUACUGAUUCAUCAAUACAUAUAAUAUCAAUUUCAACGAUAUUCUCCAAUCUUUUUCUCCCUUAUUGGGAAAAAUGUCAAAUGUAAUAUCUUAUGACUUGAUAUCCAUCCAAGAAUUUCACUUAAGUACCUUUUUGGAGUACAUGUAUGUCAUUGAGACACAUCUUGUUCUUAACAGACUCAUGUUCCUAUACUCAUUAUCGAGAACAUAUAUGGUCAAUUAAGAGUGUAUGAUAACCCACAUUAGAUUAUUUAUGUGUCCAAACUUAUAUAUUAUGAAGUUACCAACAUUGAGAAAGCUCCAUUAACUAAAGUGUUGUAGUUAGGCAACGCUCUUUUCAAAAGCAAAUACGUAAGUUGGACUGUAUAUCUCAAACCUCAUCACAUUCAGCAAUAUUUCGUUCCUUCAAUCAAAUACACCAUAUAAUUAUUGGUGAUUGAGGAAUAGUCUAUCAAAUAAGAAUCUCUUUCAUUGCAUAGAUCAUUGAUACCUCGUGAUAGAGAGUCAUGACAUCAAAUAAUUCUCAAAGUCUUCACUUCCACAAUCUGAUUUUCUACUUGACUUCAGAAAAAUCUAAACCAGUACAAAAUCUUCAAUUUAAGAAAAUCAUAGACGUAUCUGAAAUGCAUGAAUCUAUCUAUAAGUGUAAUGAAAAGUAAAGUUCCAUCUCUAUCUCUUUUAAUCACACUCCGCAAAGAAAUUUGGAUGGAUUUAUUCUACGAAAAUUUAGCUCUUACAGUUUUGAAUGGUUUUCUCAACUCAAAACCUCAAACAAUUGCACAAAUUUCCAGAACCAUAAUAAACAUCACCACUGUGAGUAUGAACAGAAAUACCACGCAUAAGUUCAAGUAAGAGACCACUCUUAGAAGAACAAUAACUGAGAUCAAAUUUACUAGAGUCUUUGAUAUUAUCUUAAUAUCAAAUAGGAGGUCAAUUUCUCCACUUUGCAAUACUAAAUUUCAGUAUCAGUCAUAUAAACAUCCACUCCAUCUUUAUUAUUUGUAUAUAUCUACUUUGUAUCAAGUCAAAGACUCGACAAUAGAAUAAUAUACCUUUUGAUCUCAUAUAAAGUGAGUUUCUAACCUUUGAAUCUACUAUCCACACAAGAUAGAUCCAAUAUAUAUAGUGUUGACAUGUAAACAACACUAAAAAGAAUAUAUUCAACUGCAAUAUCUUUUAGCUUAACCACUUUCGAGCUAAGAGAUUCAAAUCGUAUAAUUGAAGCACUUGAACCUUUAUAACAUUGAUCCUUUAUCAAAACCAUUUUCAUUCACUUACUAUCUGAUAGGUCAUCUUGGUCCCUUUACCAGUCUCCCACUCUAUCCCGCAUUUGUUCUAGCUCAUUCAAUACUUAAGAUUCAAAAUUUUAUGCAAGCUAGAAUAUUGCUACACAAGCACGUCCGAUAGAGUGAAUAAGAUUGCAUUUUUAAUGCUGAUUGCUCAUGAUUAUUUGCUAAUAUACAAGUACAUUUGGGAUUAAUAAUGAUAUUUUUAUAUAGUUGAAUGAAGGUCAAUCCUAAUUGUGGUGUUUGCAAUUUUAUUGUAGAAAUGGAGCCCAACAAUAACAAAGUUCAAGGCCCAUAAGAGAGGACUCAAUUCAAGUGGACUUAACCCAACCCAGUCAAAAUAAAAUAGAUUGGAAAGAUUAAUGAAGGGAGCAAAAUCUGUGGAAGACGUCUCUAGCUGUGAAGAAAUCCCGAAUUGGAAACACAUAUAUAAUGCCCUUCGUAUUUUCACCAUAUCUCCCCCCACCGAUGUCGUAUUGAGCUGAUUCAAGAGGCCCUGGAAAGCUAAUUUAAUGUGCUACAAUUUCUCCUGAAAUAGAGAUUUUGAAAUUCUCACGUUUUCUAAGUGAAAAACGGCUCACAAUCCAAGGCUAUAAAAAUCUGCUAAAUUGAAGAGGCGAAUUCGGAAUUGAUUCUUUCUUUUCUUGGUGAAGAUGGUUUGAAAGAAAAAAAGAAAGGAGUGGAAGAGGGAAAAAAAAAAAAAAGGAGAGGAUGACCAAGAAGGCUGGGAAUACUUACAAUUAAUUCAAUUAGGAUAUUCACAUAUGAGUACUUAUGGUGAAUCGAAAACUCUAGAGUAUUGUUUUCUUGAUUUUAACUUGCUUGUUCAAUUCAUCUUAGUUUAAACUUUUUGGUUUAAUAAUUCAUUUACAUUCGAAUUGUCAAAUAGAUCAUCAUUUAAUAAAUUUUGAUAAUUAUUCGUAAUUUUUCAUUCCUCCUGGGACGAUACUCUUACUCAUUCACUUUAUUACUUGUUACGACUCGUGCACUUGCGAUUUCAACCAAAAAGUUUUUGUCGCCGUUGCCGGGGAUUUUAGAUAAAAUUAUUGAUAAUAUCAAUACUAGUUAAAUUUGAUCUAACUUGAUUUUUUUUCUAGGUUUUGCUUAGUGCAUGAGAAGCAAAAAGAGCUUGGAACUGCUGCCUUAUGAUCCAGAAAUUGAAAAAACAGCAAAAAGACUGAGGAAAAAGAAGCAAGAAGCUCGAAAAAAUUCAAACACUAUGGCAGACAACGAGAAUCCAAGACGUGACACACGAGCUCUAAGGGAUUUUGCUCUACCACAGGUCAUAGGAAUCAAUUCAGUCAUCAGGAAACCUAGUAUUGUAGCCAUCAACUUUGAGAUUAAGCCAACUAUCCUACAAAUGAUCCAAACAUCAAUUCAAUUCCAUGGAUUUUCGAGUGAUGAUCCCAAUGCCCAUAUAGCAAGUUCUCUGGAAGUUUGUGACACCUUCAAGCAAAAUGGUGUUACUGAUGAUGUCAUUCGCCUCCGGCUAUUUCCUUUCUCUCUUCGAGAUAGAGCAAAAAGUUGGCUAAAUUCAUUACCUGCAGAUUCAAUCACUAGUUGGGAAGAUUUAGCUCAGAAGUUUCUAGCUAAAUUUUUUCAACCAGCCAAGACAACAAAGAUGCGCAAUGAAAUUUCAAAUUUUUUCUCAAUUGGAGGGUGAAACACUUUACGAGGCUUGGGAGCGAUAUAAAGACCUACUUAGGCGAUGCCCUCACCAUGGAUUGCCGAAGUGGAUGCAAGUUCAGAACUUCUAUAAUGGACUUGCAGCCUCAACAAGAACUCUAAUAGAUGCCGCUUCAGGAGGAGCGUUUAUGGGAAAAUCCCUAGAUGAUGCAUAUGAUUUGUUGGAGGAGAUGGCAAUGAGAGAGAAUUUUACUGAAGAAAGUAGUAGGAGUGCAUAAAGUUGAAGCUAUCACUACCUUGACAACUCAAGUCCAUAAUCUUACUCAACAAUUGAAGGCCAACCAACUGACAGCAAAUACCAUUCACUUGACACCACCAGCUUGUGAUUUUUGUGAUGGAAACCAUCCGAGUGAAGAAUGUCAAGUGGAAAAUCCCUUCUUUCAAUCCCAAGCGGAGCAAGCACACUUUGUUGCCAAUUACAAUCGGCAAAACAAUUCAUAUAGUACAACAUACAAUCCUGGAUGGAAAAAUCACCCCAAUUUUUCAUGGAAUAAUCAGAAUGUAUUGAAACCUCUACCUGGUCCAUCAUCUAGUGAUCCGUCGAAAGAGAAGUCAGCACUUGAAGAAGCAAUGGCAUAAUUAGCAACUAACGCCAAUAGAUUCAUAACAGAGACUAAGACCAAUUUUCAGAAUCAAGCGGCUUCGAUAUGGAAUUUAGAAGUCCAGGUCGGUCAAUUGGUUAAUAUGCUAACUGGGAGACAACAAGGAAACUUACCUAGCACGACUGAAGUGAAUCCAAAGGAAUAGUACAAGGCGAUCACUUUGAGAAAUGGAAAAGAGUAGAAGCUCCAAUUACUGGUGAAAAGUUUGAAAAAGAAGAUCAAGAGAUGCAACUCCACACACCAAUGCUUAGCGAGGAGAUUUUUGACAAUCAACCAAUCCCACCACAGGAUCUAGCACCAAAAGUUCUAUUUCCUCAACGACUCAAAAAGAAUAAGCUUGAUAAGCAAUUUUCUAAAUUUUUAGAUGUGUUUAAAAAAUUGCAUAUUAACAUUCCUUUUGCAGAAGCUCUUAAACAAAUGCCAAGCUAUGUGAAAUUUAUGAAGGACAUCUUGUCAAAUAAGAGGAGAUUGGAAGAAUAUGAGACAACAGCCCUUACUGAAGAGUGCAGUGCAAUUCUACAAAAGAAAUUGGGAUCCAGGGAGUUUUACUAUCCCUUGUUCAAUUGGAAAUUCUAUGUUUGAAAGAGCUUUAUGUGACUUAGGUGCAAGUAUUAAUCUUAUGCCUUUGUCUAUUUUUAGGAAACUUGGACUAGGUGAGGUGAGACCUACUACAGUAUCAUUGCAAUUAGCGGAUCGCUCAAUAAAACACCCAAGAGGAAGUAUUGAGGAUGUGCUUGUUAAGGUGGACAAGUUUAUUCUUCCAGCCGACUUCUUCAUUCUAGACAUGGAAGAGGAUAGGGAAAUUCCUAUCAUUCUUGGCAAACCAUUCUUAGCUACUGGCCGAGCUCUAAUUGAUGUCCAAAGGGGAGAAUUGCGGUUGAGAGUACAAGAAGAGGAGGUAACCUUUAAUGUUUUUGAUGCCAUCAACUAUCCGGAUACAAGUGAGAGUUGUUUCAACAUCCGAGCAAUCGACUCUUUGGUCACUGAAGUAUUUAACCAACAAAAGGAGUCGUUGGAAGUUUUUUUGGUUAAUCCCAAUCCGACUAUGGUGGAGGAUCUAGAAGUGUUAGAAUAUGCUUUGUGAAUGGAUUCUUUUGGUCCUAACCGCAGAAAAUAUUUUGAAGAUCAGGGACAUGGAACAUCACGGCCCCUUCCAUCUAUUGAGAAACCACCCGCAUUGGAGUUUAAGCCCUUACCUGAACAUCUUCAAUAUGUGUAUCUUGGUGAAUCAUCUACUCUUCCGAUAAUUAUUUCAUCCAAGCUUUCAAUUGAAGAAGAGGAAAAGUUGUUAAGAGUGCUUAGAGAACAUAAGGCAGCUAUUGGAUGGACACUUGCAGAUAUUAAGGGAAUUAGACCUUCUAUUUGUAUGCGUCGAAUUUUGUUGGAGGAAGAUUGCAAGCCAACGGUGGAGCAUCAAAGAAGACUCAAUCCGAUAAUAAAGGAAGUGGUGCGUAAAGAGGUCUUAAAAUGGUUUGAUGCCGGAGUGACUUACCCAAUUUCUGAUAGCUCAUGGAUCAGUCCUGUGCAAGUAGUACCAAAAAAGGGAGGAAUGAUAGUGGUGAAGAAUGCUAACAAUGAGUUGAUCCCUACAAGAAUAGUUACUGGGUGGAGAUUUUGCAUGGAUUAUCGAAAAUUGAACAAAGCCACUCGGAAGGACUACUUCCCCUUGCCAUUCAUUGAUCAAAUGUCGAACAGGCUAGCUGGGCAUGAGUACUAUUGCUUCCUAGAUGGCUAUUCGGGGUAUAAUCAAAUAGCCAUAGCACCAGAGGACCAAGAGAAGACCACAUUCACAUGCCCUUAUGGCACUUUCGCCUUCCAUCGAAUGCCAUUUGGACUUUGCAAUGCGCCAGCCAUCUUCCAAAGGUGUAUGAUGUCAAUCUUUUCAGAUAUGGUAGAGCGGAUUAUUGAAAUUUUCAUGGAUGAUUUUUCUAUAUUCGGAUCGUCUUUUGAUGAUUGUCUUGGGAAUUUGGCGUUAGUUUUGAAGAGAUGUGAAGAAAUUAACCUUGUACUUAAUUGGGAAAAGUGUCACUUCAUGGUAAAAGAGAGAAUUGUCUUGGGUCAUCGGAUCUCUUCAAAGGGGAUUGAAGUGGAUAGAGCAAAAAUUGAGACAAUCGAGAAGCUUCCACCACCAACAACAAUAAAAGAAGUACGGAGCUUUCUUGGACAUGCCGAAUUUUAUAGAAGAUUUAUUAAAAACUUUUCCAAGAUCUCCAAACCCCUUUGUAGCUUGCUUGUGAAAGAAACACCUUUAGUGUUUGAUGAAGAAUGUGAUAAGGCGUUCUUGCUACUAAAAGAGAAGCUUUUGUCGGCUCCGGAUUGGGAUCUACCGUUUGAAUUGAUGUGCGAUGCAAGUGACUAUGCGGUUGGUGCAGUAUUGGGACAACGAAGGAACAAACGGUUUCAUACCAUUUAUUAUGCUAGUAGAACCCUUAAUGAUGCCCAACUCAACUAUGCCACAACUGAUAAGGAACUUCUUGCUAUAGUCUUCGCUUUUGACAAGUUUCGACCAUAUCUCAUUGGGAAUAAAGUGAUAGUCUACACUGAUUAUUCCGCAAUAAAAUACCUUAUCAUGAAAAAGGAAGCCAAGCCAAGACUCAUCAGUUGGGUUCUCUGGCUACAAGAAUUUGAUAUUGAGAUUAAAGACAAGAAGGGAAUUGAAAAUAUGGUGGCAGAUCAUCUCUCACAGCUAGAGUCACAGGAGCAACUUGAGUCCCAACAACUGCCCAUAGAUGAUAAAUUCCCGGAUGAGCAACUUUUAGCUAUUUCUUCUAGCAAUCCUUUACGAUGGUAUGCAGAUUAUGUCAAUUUUCUUGCAGGAAAAAUCAUUCCCUCCGACUUUUCUUAUCAACAAAAGAAGGAAUUUCUGUCGGAAGUAAAGCAUUACUAUUGAGAAAAACCAAUACUCUACAGGCAUUGCGUGGACCAAAUAAUCAGGCGAUGUGUUCUAGAAGAGGAGAUGACAGAUAUUUUGAUGCAUUGCCAUACACUAGAAUGUGGAGGGCAUUUCGGACCUCAUCGGACAGCAGCUAAAGUUCUCCAAUCCGAAUUUUAUUGGCCAACAUUGUUCAAGGAUUCUCAUACUUUUAUUGCCUCUUGUGAUAGAUGCCAACACUCUGGGAACAUAUCUAAAAGAAAUGAAAUGCCUUUAUAGAAUAUUCUAGAGGUGGAGUUGUUUGACGUUUGGGGUAUUGACUUCAUGGGACCCUUUCCUUCAUCCUACAAUAACAAAUACAUUCUUCUAGCAGUGGAUUAUGUAUCUAAGUGGGUAGAGGCAAUCGCAACUCCUACUAAUGAUGGAAAAGUGGUGCAGAAUUUUUUCUGGAAGAAUAUUUUUUCCAGAUUUAGGACUCCUAGGGCCAUCAUUAGCGAUGAAGGGAAUCACUUUUGUAACAAGCAGUUUGAAGCUCUAUUAUUAAAAUAUGGAGUUAGACAUCGAAGAGCAUUGGCUUAUCACCCUCAGACAAAUGGACAAGCGGAGAUAUCAAAUAGGGAGGUGAAGCAAAUUCUAGAGAAAACAGUUAACAAUUCUCGAAAAGAUUGUGCCAAAAGCUAGAUGAUGCGCUGUGGGCUUAUCGGACAGCAUACAAAACACCUUUGGGAAUGUCUCCUUAUCGAUUAGUCUAUGGAAAAGCAUGCCACCUUCCUGUAGAGCUCGAGCACAAAGCUUAUUGGGCGAUGAAGCAACUAAACAUGGAUCUUCAAGCAACUGGUGAAAAGUGUUGUUUGCAAAUUAAUGAGAUGGACGAGUUUCGUAAUGAAGCUUACGAGAAUGCAAGGAUUUACAAGGAAUGGACCAAAGCUUGGCAUGAUAAGCACAUCUCAAAGAAAGUGUUUCUACUUGGACAACAAGUUUUACUUUACAAUUCAAGGCUUCGUCUUUUUCCAGGAAAGCUCAAAUCUCGAUGGUCAGGCCCAUUCACAAUUGUUAAAGUUUUUCCCCAUGGAGCAGUGGAAAUCACUCAUGAUGAGAAGGAGACAUUUAAAGUGAAUGGACAACGUUUGAAGCCUUAUUUAAGUGGAGAAUUUGACAACAAGAAGACCACCAUUCUUCUUGAUCCAGCCUAGAAGAAGAGCAACAGUCAAGCUACUUACUAUAACUAAGCGCUUUUUUGCUCUUUUUUUUUUUAUUCCCUUGCAAUUUGUUUAGUUUUCUAUAUUCUUCUUUUCGUUAAUUACUUUGUGUGUUUUCUGAUUUCAAUUUAUUUAUUUAUUUUGGGUGUGGCAGUGAUGCAGUUCUCUACCUUCUUGCUCCAGUACUUGAAUGCGUUGAUGAGGAAGCCAAGAGAGAUGAAGCUUGACCCAUCUCCACUAAUGAAAAGGGAAGUUUCUUCUUAUCUUUUUUUUUUUUCCCUUUCUUUGCUCCACAUUGAGGACAAUGUUAGGUUUUAGUUGGGGGUGCUGAGCAUGAAUAUAUGCAUUCCCGUUUGCAUGAAUUUAGAUUUGGUAUCAUGAAUGCAUUCCAAUUUACAUGAAUUCAACUUUGGUAUUUUGGCUUGAUUACAAUGUAUUUUUGCUUGAGUCAAUAGUGCUAUCUGAGUAAGAUGUUGAAACACCUCAAAAAAAUUUUCUUUUCAAACACGUAAACUAAGCUCAUGUGGUUUGAUGGAUGUGGAACUCAUACAAUUAGAGAACAUUCAAAUUAAAGUUGCAACCUUUUACACUUGUGAGCAAUUGGGCCAUUCUCAUUUUUCUGAGAGAUGUUAUCAUAUUCUUAAUAUUACCUUCAGCAUUGUCUCGUUACAUGAUCUCAUUAUUCCCCAAAUUUGGUUGACUAAUGGGAAUGCCAUUACACGGUUUGUGGUAUGUUGGUUUGAUUAUACUCACGAAAUGAUGAAGGUCAAUUUAGGAUGUAGUUUAAGCCUUUCAAGCCGAACAAUGUCUCACUGAAUAGAAGUCACUUUGAGCUAAAGUCUCAUCAGUCUUUGUGAAGCCAUUUAUUUCUUCACCCACUCCACAUUGGAGGUUGAGCUUAAGUUGAACAUCUCCUUUACCUUCAAAUAUCAAGUAUGUAGUAUAGAUUGUGGAAUAUGCUGUUGAAAAGGGUAUGAAAAAUAUUUUAAAGCAAGGUGUGUUGUUGCGAAAAUCCCUAAAAAAACAAAAAAAAAAAGGGGGGGGGGGAAAGGAAAAAGGAAAAAAGUGUUCUGAAUUGAGAAGAAACACAACAAGAAUAACAUAAUAUUGUGGGAAGCCAUGUUAAGCCCAUGUCUGGAGCAGCUUCUUUGGUCCAGAAAAAUAAAAAAUAAAAAAUAAAAAAAAAUCUAUUUUUCUACCAUUGGACAUAAUUGCAAUCGCAUACUUUGACCAAAGGUCUCACAUGUGGGGCCCCCUUGGUGGAAAAAUGGGCACCAGAUAGCCCUUAAGUCUACAAGUUGAUGAAGAUCCUCAAUAUAUACUUGAGAAUUAAUAUUUUUCUUCAAUCUUCUUAUCCUUCCUUUCAAUUUGACCCCAGUCAUAUUACAACCCUUUAUUGACAUUUUGAUCCUAAGUGGGUUAGUGGUUAGAAUGGUUGAGUUCCCAUUAGUUGGCAUCCUCUCAUGAGAUCAAUUUUGUUAUUUCACUCUUUUGCUCCUAUUUCACUCAUUUGCCCGCAGACAAUUAUUCCUUCCAUAUAUUUGAGUGGCAAUUUUUUUCAACCUUCAUUACCUUUGUUGGCAAUAGUUUUUUUUUUUUUGGUUGAAUAUUACACUUAAUAUUUGCAAAAAUAACUUUUGUCUGGGAUGUUCUCGACAUUGUAUGAGUUUUGGUUUGAUGGAAAGAUGGUGAAGAGCUUAACACACACACACACAUACUAGUUCUAGGAGUGUGCUUUGACAGACAAACUUUAAUAGCAUUGUUGAUCUCUGGUGAAUGCUUUGUUUGAUGUGCCUGAAUAUUUUUGCUUAGUUCGUAUAAAAGGAUUUUCACUUGGGACAGGUUGCAAUACUCUUUCUUCGCUUGAAUUGCUAGGGACUAGCAACAUGCUAGUUGGGGGGUGUGAUAGAGUGAAUAAGAUUUCAUUUUAAUGCUGAUUGCUCAUGAUUAUUUGCUAAUAUACAAGUAUAUUUGGGAAUAAUAAUGAUAUUUUUAUAUAGUUAAAUGAAGGUCAAUCCUAAUUGUGGUGUUUACAAUUUUAUUGUAGAAAUGUAGCCCAAAAAUAACAAAGUUCAAGGCCCAUGAGAGAGGACUCAAUUCUUUUGGACUUAACCCAGCCCAAUCAAAAUAAAAUAGAUUGGAAAGAUUAAUGAAGGGAGCAAAAUCUGUGGAAGAAGUCUCUUGCUGUGAAGAAAUCCCGAAUUGGAAACACAUCUGUACUGCCCUUCGUAUUUUCACCAUAUCUCCCUCAUCCGAUGUCGUAUUGAGCUUAUUCAAGAGGCCCUGGAAAGCUAAUUUAACGUGCUACGAUUUCUCCUGAAAUAGAGAUUUUGAAAUUCUCAUUUUUUCUAAGUGAAAAACGGCCCAAAAUCCAAGGCUAAAAAAAUCUGUCGAAUUGAAGAGGGGAAUUCGGGAUUGAUUCUUUCUUUUCCUGGUGAAGAUGGCUUGAAAGAAAAAAAAGAAAGGAGCGUUAGAGGGGGGGAAAAAGGAGAGGAUGACCAAGAAGGCUGGGACCAAGGUGGAUCGAUUCUUUUUCUUCCCUUUUGGCUAUCAAAAGAGGGAAGCCACUCCAAGAAAUCGGGAGAUCAGAUUCACUGAGUUCUUCCUUCUCCCCAUCUCUUUCAAUUUCUUGAUGUUAACUCUUUAUUUAAAUUUUUCUUCAAUUUUAGCAUGAAUUAAUUUCCGUCUUCUAGAGUUUGAGAUGUAGCCUAACUACGAUUAUGUGAAUCUUCUUUUACUUGAAUUAAUUGGUAUUUGUUCCAAUUGUUGAGUAUUUCAUUCUGGACUUAAUGCUUGUGAAUUAACUGAUCAUCAUUUACUUGAGUUGGGAGUCAAUUUGAGACAGAGAAGUAAUAAUUGUUUCAGCCAAUGUCUGAGAUACCACAUGAAUUCUGUAGGAUAGAGAUAUCUAUGGACUUGUGUAAUUUUUAUGGGUUUAUUUUUGUUCUUAAUGAAUCUUGACAGGCUUAGAAUUUUUACAGAGACGUAGAAAAUUUUCUUGUUGAGAUAUUUUGUUAAUGCUUGAGAAAGAUUAAUGAAUAAAUUAGAAAGACUUGAUUAUCAACAAUUAGGAACACUUAUAAUUAAUUCAAUUAAAAUAUUCACAUAUGAGUACUUAUGGUGAAUCGAAAACUCGAGUAUUGUUUCUUGAUUUUAACUUGCUUGUUCAAUUCAUCUUAAUUUAAACUUUCUGGUUUAAUAAUUCAUUUACAUUCGAAUUGUCAAAUAGAUCAUCAUUUAAUAAAUUUUGAUAAUUAUUCGUAAUUUCUCAAUCCUCGUGGGACGAUACUCUUACUCAUUCACUUCAUCACUUGUUACGACUUGUGCACUUGCGAUUUCAACCAACAAUGUCCUUGAGACUUAGCAACAUCAAGUCACACGUCUUUUAACUCACAUAGUGAGUAGUAUCAAUAGAAAAAAAUUGACACUUCAAUUUGUAAGUCACAAUGACUUUCAAAAUUCCAUAUAUUAGGAAGAGACUAAUUUGAACUUACUACUCAUCUAAAAUUAAUGUGACCAAUGAAAAUGUUAACACUAUGCUAACCACCAACUAAGUCACAUUUGAGAAAAAAAGAUCAUUUAUAACAUAACUUAACAAUUUAAAUCUCAUGUACUAAAAUUCACAUUUUCCCGUACUCGACUAAGUUUGAUUUUGAUCUUUAUUCUGUAGAGUAGUAUGACCUACAUAAGGUCUUCUAUUACGUGGUUGAUACUCUCUAAAGUAUCAUGUCCUUCUAGUACAUUUAAAAUCUUAUCAUGCCAAAUGUUAUCGCAUUUAGUUUAUCACCUUUAUUAAGAUUAACUUCUAUAAAUUUUGAUGACAUGUUCUAUCAGAUUUUUAGAGACAUGUUAUUCUUAAUCAAUGCCCAUUUAUGCACAUAUUUAAUUUUACAUUAACGCAAAUUAACAUCUACGAUAGUUCAAUGUUAGGCACAGAAUCGAAAGUUCACUAUGUUCCCAAUUAUCGUCCGCAAUCCUAUCGUUUCACUAUCAUAAACUUAAUUUAAUAAUGCAAAAUUCCAUGGGUUCUAAGUGAGAAUCACAUUAAUUCUUCCAACUUCAAAACUCCCACUCAGUUGAUGAAUCAAAUAGUUCUUGGUGAGAUUUUCUCAUAAAUCUUCCAAUCAUCGAACUAUCACUCAACUGACAAUCAAUAGGUUUAAAUAAGAAUCUCACUAAUUCUACUGACCUUAGCAUUUAUAACAAUACAUGAUGUAUUCAAUUAGAUAAUUUCAUAAUAUGCAAUAAAAACAUAAAUAUGCACAUUUAUCCAAUCAUGACAUGCAUCAUGAUAUAACAAAUUAAUUCUUUCAGGAGAUAACUUCAAUUAUAAUUCAAAAAUAAAACUAACAUCGUUUAAGUUUUAUUUUACAAAUUCUCAAUCCCAUCUAAAUCUCGGUCGCAACAAAGUCCUAAUAACUGGGAAGUGACAUUAGAAUUAUUAUAUUCUGCUUGUCAUCAAAAACUUAUAUCCCAAAAUAUUUACGUGCUCCACAAUAAGUCAUGUUCCAGAUCCAUUCAUUUAUAUCGAUAAGCAUGGAACAUUUCAACAAGUUUCAUAGCCUUUGGUUUUCUAGCAUUCCUUCUAAGGAUGCUAUAAAUGUGCACAAAUCUAGCCAUAUUUGAUCAAGCACAAAAAAUUGAAAACAAGUCACAAUGGAUCACAUAACCUAAUUAAGACCCACACAACUCAUGAACGUAUAUAUAAUGCGGUAUUUUAAAUACUUUCGGAGCAUUUUUUAUUUAAAAAUGAAACACUUAAAAAAAAAUAACUCUCACUAGGCAAAUACUGCUUAACAAUUAUUCUCGAUUUUUAUAAAAAACUUAGAAUUUAAUCGAGUCCAAAAAAAAUAUUUUUGAUUAUCUAAAAAUUAAUUUUAAUUGCACAUAAAAAUCAAGAAUAUUUGAGGGACCAAUGUACAAUUUUCUAAAAUUCAUUUGAAAAAGUCAAACGGUAAUUUUAUUUGACAUUCUAACUUUUAACCUUUUUUUAAUUAAAAAAAGGGGCAUUGAACACCCACUACCCGCUAAUCCACGACGCUUAUUCAAUAAAAAAAAUUCGUUAAUUCGUUCCUUUAGUCAAUUUUAACGUUCUGAGUUCAUCUGUGUGGUCAAAUUUCAUAAUAUCAACUUUUAAGAUUGUGUUCUGGACCCAAACAGAUUCGAUCGAGACUAAAAAAUGGGAAAAAAAGUAUUGUUCAUCUUUAAAAAAAAAAAACAUAAUUUUCAGUUUUUUAUCAAUAUUUCGGGAAGCCAUAACUUCUUCAUUCCAAGGUCAAAAUUUAUGUUUUUUAUAUUGUUGGAAAGGUUUCGGGAAUAUCCAUCCAACCAUAUCAAAUGGGCAUCACGAAACACAAUGUGAAAGAAGUUAUCAUCUGAUAAAGAUUCUGAUUUUACAAAUUUUCACUAAAAAAAAACAUAUUUUCAUCUAAACUUUGGGAGGGCAUAACUUUCUUGUCUCAAGUCCAAAAUUAAUGAUCUUCAUAUCGUUAGAAAGGUCUCGAGAAGAUCUAUCCAACCACAUCAAAUGGACAGCAUGAAACUUAAUGUAUAAAAGUUACCACGUGAUGAAUUUCAGGAUUUUACCAAGUUCCACACUUAAAAUUCAUAUUAUCAUCCAAAUUUCAAAAAAUCAUAACUUCUUCGUUUUAAGUCCAAAAUUUGAGUUCUUUAUAUGGUUGGAAAGCUUACGAGAAGAUCUUUCUAACCAUACUAAUCUUACUACAUGAAGAUGAACGAAAAAAUGGCAGUAAAUUAUCAAAUGAUGCCACUAAAUACCACAUAAGGUUUCAAAACUUUGCAUACAAGAUUCAUAAUCUAAUUCUAUCAUGUAAUGGCAUAAUUAAGCAUGAAUUAGAGCAAGGAACUCAACCUUAUGGCUCUGAUACUAAUGUAGGAAAAUCGUAGCAUGCUUUGAUAUGAAUUUCGGGUCAACAAAUUUACUUGAAAUGAUGAAUUUCAAGAUCUUUGUGUGGUUGAAUCACCUUGCUUUCAAAUCUCCAAAAUUUGUAUUUUCUUGUACUCCAAUGAUCCAAAUCCCUAUCAUAAUGGAAGGGGAUUAUUGUCCACAAUCUAAGUGUCAUUUCUUGUGAGAUUUCAUGCCAAAAAUGUGAUUUGAGGGACUUUAAUUCAACCCCAUAACUCCCAAGUAACCACUUGAAACUUCCGUAUAGAAGUUAUGGAAAAGAGGAGGAAAAUGGAAGACAUGAAAAAAAAAAUGGUGAAAAAAUUCGUAUGGAAAUUCACCUCAAAAUUGGAAAGUCCCUAAAAUCACAUUUUUGGCAUGAAAUCUCACAAGAAAUAGCACUUAGAUUGUUGACAAUAAUCCCCUUUCAUUGUGAUAGGGAUUUGGAUCAUUGAAGUACAAGAAAAUAUAAAUUUUGGAGAUUUGAAAGCAAGGUGAUUCAACCACACAAAGAUCUUGAAAUUCAUCAUUUCAAGUAAGUUUGUUAACCCGAAAUUCAUGUCAAAGCAUGCUACGAUUUUCCUACAACUGGAAACAUCUUUGAUGGUCACAGUUCUACAAUUCACACAAGGAAAAAUGAAGAGCUGAAAUUCAAAAGUAGUGAAUCUUGUGAAAAUAAAAGACAAUUAUAAAUCCACGUUAGUUGUAAGAUACCUGUCCCGGCCCGGUGGCCUUUCAUAUUGUAAAGGUCUGUGAUGACGACGGCAGAAAGAUCUUUCCUUUAAUUGACCUGUGUGUUGAUCGACGGAGGAAAAAUGAGUUGCCUCCGUAACAUAGCUUUGCUUCAAGACCAGUUUCUUUACAUGGGAUUGUGACGUAGCCCAACCAUUCAACCCCACGAACCGGUAAAAAUCUAAUCACAGGCUUUGAUGAGUUCAUAAAUAGUAAAUAAGCAGAAUUAUCAUUAUUGAUAGAGAAGAUGAAUGUUCAAGUAGGACAUUGAGAGUGCCCCGCGAGACAUGAUGAGUCUCUCCAAGAAUAGGAUUGUAAGGAGUCAAGCCAAACAUCAAAGGACGUAAAGUGGAUCUGGACCAAGCAAUAACAGAUAUGAAUCUGUCAAGAGGGGUUUCUCCAUUGUUGCACUUACUUAACAUAACUGUUUUAAUGCAGUACACUGAUUCUCCAUAGCAUUGAAGCUAUGAUUUUGGAAGGUUGAAGAUCGGUGGCAGCUGCAUUUUUAGACAAUAAAAAUCAUAUAUAAUAUCACUCCAUAAAUUUAAUAUUAUCCAAGUACAUAAAUACUUCUGAGUUCCAAUUACAGUUGCCUACUCAUCCAUUUCAGCAUCUUCGUUUAGUAUACACAAGUACAAUGCAUAGGAGGUCUAAUAAUCGAAGGACUAACACGAACACGAGCAAAAUUUACACACACAAAAUAAAUAAAAUGGGAAAUACAGCUUGCCUGAAGACGUAUGAGAUCAGAUCCUGGGUGGACACUACUCAACAGACUGAAAAUGCGUUGAAGCAGAUUGGGAGGUCCAUCAGAAUUCUCUCCCUCCAGUGAUAAUGGUGCAGUUAGU